RNAcentral lists this long non-coding RNA (60177 nucleotides) under Brassica napus (rape). Its description in RNAcentral is "long non-coding RNA (BNAP_LNC021589)". Lineage: Eukaryota; Viridiplantae; Streptophyta; Magnoliopsida; Brassicales; Brassicaceae. The record is from RNAcentral.
GUGAAAAAAUACCUUGGCCUCCCUGAGCUCUUUGGUAGGAAGAAGAGAGACCUCUUCUCGUCUAUAGACAACCGCAUUAAACAGAAAGCUAUCAGCUGGUCGACUCGCUAAUUGUCUCCAGCAGGGAAAUUCACUAUGCUGAAGUCAGUCCUCACUGCCACUCCCACCUUCGCUAUGCCAUGCUUCUUAUUACCUGUAGGUCUCUGCAACCAAAUACAGCCAGCUCUCAUCAGAUUCUGGUGGGAUCCAAAUGAAUAAAAAAAGGGAUAUGUUGGGUUUCAUAGGACAAACUGACUGAAUCUAAAUAUGGUGGAGGUUUGGGUAUAAAAGACAUUCAACAAUUCAACAAAGCCCUACUGGGCAAGCUAUCUUAGAGGAUCCUUACCAAUCCUAAUUGUCUGCUAGCCAGGAUUUUGCUAGGAAAGUAUUGCCACGCAAACGCCUUCCUGAAAGUAUCAUGUAGCUCCUCGCCUUCGCAUGGCUGGAGAGGGAUACUUGAAGGCAGAGACAUUCUCAUCCAACACUUAGGCAUAGUGAUCAGAAAUGACAACUCUACAAAGCUAUGACAUGACCCAUGGCUGUUUGUAUCGAUGCCAAAAGCAGCAAUAGGACCAACAACCGUAGACGCAAAGGACCUAAUGGUUGCAGAUGUACUCUCCAGAGAAACAUGAAUUUGGAACAGAUAAGCUCUUGAAAUGCAAUUCCCUACUCUGGUAGAAGAAAUUAUACUCCUCCGCCCGAGUACUAUAGGAGCUGAAGACUCGUACUCCCGGCUACUCGACAAAUCGGGUACGUAUACUUCAAAAUCUGGAUACCUAUCACAACGAUUGCACACAACAGCUUUGCCCGCAAACUAUACGGUUCCAACAAACUUCAACUGGAAUAAAAUGAUAUGGAAGGCGCAACUACUCCAGAAAAUCCAACUCUUCCUUUGGAAAGUAAUGCAGAACGCGGUACCUACAAGUGAGAACCUUCAGAAAAAAAGGCCUACUUGAAAACACUAAUUGUAUUAGGUGUGGGGAACGAGAGACUACCAUUCAUCUCUUUUUCCACUGCCAUUUUGCUCAACGAGUAUGGGAACUGGCACCAUGGUCCUCACCAGCUAAUCUCACCCAAGCUCUUUCCUUUGGAGAAAAAUUGGUGGCUUCAUAUCAACGCAUUAACCUACCACCAGUAGGUACAAAUAUCAAUCUAUUCCCUUGGAUAGUGUGGAAUCUGCGGAUUGUUAGGAACCAACUACUCUUCGAGAACAUGACUUUCUCCCUACAAGACUGUUUAAGCAAAUCAGUGAUCACAGCAAGAGAAUGGACGACAGCUCAGGAUUCACAACCAAAAAUCACCCCCCUGCCAAAUCACGUGACAGCGUCUCUUGCGAUUUCACCAACAACGCUCUUGCCGACAACCCUAAUCUGCAAUACAGACGCAGCGUGGAGAUGAGAUACAAAAUCAGCAGGAUUAGGGUGGCUCUUCACUGAUCAGAAUCUCACAGAGAUCGGGAGAGGCUCCCAAUUCCAAGACCAAGUCUCUUCAGCUCUCCUCGCGGAGGGGUUUGCCGUUUGCGCUGCUCUUCUACGUGCAGUAUCAUCCGGGUACACCAACAUCUGGCUAAGAUCAGACUCUCAAGUGCUUGUAAAAGCAAUCAAUCUGAAACAUUGUCCGUCGGAGCUCUACGGGACUUUGACCGACAUUGCUUCAAUUUCAGCUUCUUCAUUUGCUUCAUGUCGUUUCUCUUAUGUUUCUAGACUUCAAAAUGGGUCUGCAGACCUCAUUGCUAAGGCAUGUUUUAGCAAUGGGCUUAAUGGACUCUAAACUCUAAAUUUCUUUCUAAUCUAAUCAGUUGAACAAAAAAAAUACACGGUUUUGAAUUUUCUUGUCUAAUAACAUUGUAAAUGAUAACAAAACAAUAAUGUGAACGUUUCCAGGAAUGAAAAAUCAGAUAAAGAGGAAUUGAAAUCAAGAAAAGAGAAGAGAUUACAUAAGGAGAAUCUUUAUUUUAUUAAGAACACUCAAAGAUAUUACAAGGGAUUCAAGGGACUCUUUAGGAUUCAACUCUCUCAACUUACUUAGCUUUGUGGUUGUACCUACAUGGAGACGAGACUAGCCUUGUACAUAAUGAUGUAUGCCAUAUGCCAAUCACUUCCUAGAGAAAGUUUAGUGAUAUGCUCUUCGCGUUGAAAGCUCGUGUAGUCGUGUUAUCAUCGUCGUAUUGACCCCACUUACCUGUUAAACAUGUGUUAGAGGUGUUUUAAGUUUGAAAAUAACAAGUAUGUGAGCGUUUGUAAGCCUUUUUCAAAAAAAAAAAAAAAGUAUGUGAGCGUUGACAUAUAGUAAUUCUGUGUGUGUUUAUAUAUGUGUUAAUUGUUAUAAUGGAAAGACCACUCUCUUGCUUGACCCAUGCAACCUAAUGCCUAGAGUCUGCGCUUAUGCCUUUGUUGAUCAACACUGAGAUGAGAUCAUAGAUUUCGGUCAUGUUAGAUGAAGCACCUACAUAGGCAAAAGUGCUUUACUUGUUUGGAAAUGAUAACAAUCAUCAGAGAUUCCGCUAGCUAAAGAGUAACAACACACAUACUCGUGAUUACUUUCAUUGAUUAGGGAUUUAUUUGCAAGUGGCCUUCUCUCUAUUAUUUUACAAAAUUCUCUAUGUCAGUGACUCACAAGGAAACUUUUGACUCCAACAUAUAGAACUAUUACAGCACAUUCCAAGCUGGAUGAGAAAGAUAUUCAGAAGGGGUUCUUUAGGUGAAUAUACCUCAUUGGUUGCCUGUGGAAAUUUUAGCUUUCUGAUUACUCUCUCUUUUCCAGAAGAAUCUCACAAACUGAACAGUCUAGUAACAGUUUAGAAGUAGCAAUAAGUUCAAAAUUUUCUCUGGAACAUGUUGGUCAUAAAGCCUAUAAAAAAGGACUGAAGGGAACCAAGUAGUGCAGAAAUGAUAACCAGAGGCUAAUCAACUUGGAAAGGAAUCUAUAAGAGACUCCUUAAUGUAAACCGCUAGUACAGCCCAGAUCGAGUUCUCCUUUCAGUCCUUACAACAACUAUAAGAAUUGGAACUCUUUAUCAUAGAACUGUCUAAAAUAUAACGCCAAAUAGACAACAGUGGGAAACAUGAAACAUUUUGUAUAGUAAAAAAACCGAAUAGGAUUAUAAGAUAAUGGACCGCAAGUUUCAUAUCUCUAGGUUUCAUGUAAAGAAGUUAAACUGUCAAAUAUUACCUUGUCGAACAGGCCUUUCACAUACAUGCCUACACACUAUAACAAGUGCAACAAUUUUUUUGAUCAAUUCCAAGCAUCUCAGGUAUUGCUCUCUGUUUAAAGAUACUGCAUUCUUGUUGACAGAUCAACUGAGACCAAAAAAAAAGAAAGGAAAAAAAUAAUAAGCAUUUGAUAUGAUACUUCCUUAGAACCAACGACAUCACAUUCCUGUUGAUCAUAGCUGGGGCUUUAAGCCAAUUGUGUUAAUCAAAGUUAUUCCCUAGUUUCCAUUGAAACACGGGGAAAGUUAACUUGAAUGCAAAAAGUUCCUCAUUUGAUCAAGAAUAAGUAAAAGAAGCAGAUGAUGUUGAUUGUUGAGCAUUACAAGAACAUAGACUAACCAUCCAGAACGACAUAGGUGCAACAGACUUGACACUUUUUGUAAUGCCAACUAAGAUAAGUUAACUUGAAUGCAAAAAGUUCCUCAUUUGAUUAAGAAUAAGUAAAAGAAGCAGAUGAUGUUGAUUGUUGAGCAUUACAUGAACAUAGACUAACCAUCCAGAACGACAUAGGUGCAACAUACUUGACAUUUUUAUCGAGCUCACUAAAUAUCUCACUUGUUCCAACCGCACGUGAGCAUGUGAGAAGUCUGAUCCACAUCCUCAGUCGAGCAGAUUAAUAACUAGUGAGACAAGACCAAGAAGGUUAACACCCUUUUUCUUUAAUAUGUCAAGCCUCCAUGUGGGAACCGAAAUUCGCACCGUCGAUUUCCGUUUAAAUUAGGAAACUAGGAAAAUCCUAAUUUCCCAGAGGUCCCGGAUCUCUGCGAGAGCCAACGGCAAGUGACCAAAUAUAUGCGGAAAUCAUGAAAAGAUAACAAACGAGUUUAGAAAAAACAGUAGAUCUUAUUUCGAGUCCGCGUAAGAGCGUUUCGAUCAUUACAAGAAAUCAUAAAAGCUUUGGCCGCAAAGGCUGUCAGCGAGUUACCUAGUUCUAGCGGCCUAAAAGCUCAAACCUAGUUGAGUCGCAGCUCGAUAACAAAAGACAAAAAAAGUACAUGAGAGGUUUUUGAUUGAUUUCGGACUGAACCUUAUGAAAGGCUGCCUACGUACCCCUUUCGAGGAUCAAGCCGAAUGUAGUUCAAGAGUGAACCAAGAGAUCAAACUUCUUGUGCGCGUUCGUCUGGUAAUCGGGUGCCAGUCAUGGAACCCGAGCAUGUCGAGAAUAAUGCCUCAGAGUUUCUAAGUGCCCAGAGUUCUGCCUCAGAGUUUCUCAGUCUAAAAAGUACUCCCCCGUGCCUCUCGCCUAGGACUCCUUAUAUACUCGCUCCUAGGUCGGUUUACGCUUUUUCCUCUUCUGCCCUUAAGCCGUCAUAACUUAAAAAUGGAGAUAUUCCGUUUUUCCCGAUCUUUCUAAUUAUCUUCGAAUACUUCGUAUUUAUCCGCGGAAACUUGACAUUUAUCUUUCCUUGCGAACAGAGCAUAAACCGUCCUACGGUUUAUGGGCUUUUGGUUAAGAAAUCGUAAAUGGGUUUUGAGUCACGUCUUAGGUCUCUUUGGGCCGUUGUUUAACUCGAAACGUUUAUUACGGCUUCUUUCGAUAAAAACGAACUUUCCGCGGUUUUUAUCGUAAAGUUAGAUUGAUGACUUCAAAUGACGAGAAACAUGAAAUGGGUUGGCUACGGUCUUCGGAAGAUAGCAUUAAAGAGUAGACGAGAAUGCAUGGAUUCGUGUCGUAUCGAUUUUUAAGAAAGCACGGUCGCUACGUAGCGAUCGAGUCGUGUGCGUGCUCGGUCGCUAAGUAGCGACCGAGCUUCGGGGAGAGCUCGGUCGCUACGUAGCGAUCGAGACGUGUACGUGCUCGGUCACUAAGAGAGCUCGGUCGCUACGUAGCCACCGAGCUUCGGAGAGAGCUCAGUCGCUACGUAGCGACCGAGCCGUGUACGUGCUCGGUCGCUACGAAACGACUGAGCCGUGUACGUGCUCAGUCGCUAAGUAGCGACCGAGCUUCGAGGAGAGCUCGAUCGCUACAUAGCGACCGAGCCGUGUACGUGCUCGGUCGCUACGUAGUGACCAAGCUUCGGUGAGAGCUCGGUCGCUAUGUAGUGACCGAACCGUGUACGUGCUUGGUCGCUACGUAGCGACCGAGCUUUGGUGAGAGCUCGGUCGCUACGUAGCGACCAGUUUUACGCUGGUUGCUACGUGGCAACCUUGUUCGCGUCUUUCUCCGAUUUUUCGUGAAUGUGUUUUCUCCGCAAGAUUCUUCGUAAAAAUAAAUCUUUUUCUAAGAUUUAUAUUUCGUAAAAACGUUCAUGCCGAUUUUUACGGACUUUCAGACAUUGAUUCUGUCGUGACCGAUUUUGACCCCAACAGUUAGCCCCCCAGCUCGUUAGAACCAUGAGCUUCUAGCGUGAGGUUUUAGCGAGUGGCUUGGCAAGUUAGGUGAGUUAGGCGGAAUUAAUGAUCGAAAAGGUCCGUGGUAAGUGGUCUUCUUGCUCUUCUAAAAGUAGAACGCGAUAAGAUUGGGGCUGCGCCUUAUGACGGCUGCCUACGUAUCCUUGUUGAAGGGAUCAAGGCUUUCAUAGUUCGUCUUGGAGUUAAGGUUAGUAUGACUAGUUUUCCAGCGAGACCUUUACGGUCUGGUUUUUAUGUAGAGGUUAUCAGGCGUGUUGCUGCCGAUGGCAUUUUAUAUGAGUGUAGAAGGAAGACUACGAGUUGUCAUCUCGUAAUCUAAUUCUGUGUGAACUACUAUAUCCGUGAUCUGUUUCGAGAGUUUUCCGAAGUGUGUAAACUUGCGGGAUUUCUGAAGACGCUCGAAUAUUGGCAAAGAGACAAAUUUUCGGAUCUCGUAUCAAGGUUUUUGAUACUAUGCCUAGAGAUGUUAGAGACCAGUGCGCUGAGUUUAGGGCAAGACCUAGGUUUACUCCUGGUUUUAGAGGGUGCGAUGACUAAUUCGACUUACGUAUCCCGUUUCAGUUUCAUCCUGAUUCCAUACCGAUUUAAAGUCUGUGAUAGGUUCUCGGCUUAUACGACUUGUAUGGUUGGAACCGAACAUCUCUCCAAGGACAAUUUUUAAGCCUCCUGGAAGUGCUGACCAAAAAUUUUGGGUUUCUUUUAUAGCGCUAUUAUCCUUGUGUCGGAUGUACGAGAGUCAUAUCUACGAGAUGGCUAAGUCUGUUUAGGACGUUAAGAGUUUGUUGUGAUCAGCAACAAACUUAGUGGUUAAAAUUACCGUUUCGAGUCUUCGCGAAGGAUAUGUUUUGAGAAGAUGUUAGUGCGUAUGAGUGUCUGGUCUUCCAAUAAAGUUUUUUUAUCAAGGAAGGAAAUUUCGUCGAAGAACGAAUCUUCCGGCGUCUGCGACGUCUCGCGAUGAUGAAGAUUUGUUAUUCUUUCGUAUGCCGCGUUUCGUGCUUGAAAUGUUCGCGGGCUUGAAGAUGUUUCUCGAUGUUGCAAGGGAUUAGUCUUAGCCUGCGUUUGGGAAACAUUCUGGUUUGACUACGGAUGUUCGCAGCCAGAAUUGUUGUUCCUGUUUGGAUUUGAUUUGCGACCGAGGAGUUAGGACCAAGGGGUCGCGUAAAUUUGUCCCCGGAAAGAGGCAUCCUCGUAUACCGUGCUUUGUGUGGUGUUGGCCUUCCGAGAUUUCUUUCGUGUCUAUUUGAGGAUGUUCCGUAUAGCUAUAGGAGCUCUGUUAAGAGUUUUCCUUACAUGCCGCAUUUUAUGAGUAAAACACAGCGGGCUUAAAGUGAAUCGUAGUAUAUGGAACUUGGUCGAUUUUUGACAAGUGGAACAUUUCCGUUAACUGUUUGGUUGUUAGGACUGAAUUUUGUUAUGACGAAUUUACCGUAUGAUUCCCGUUUUUGGGUGGUAAGAUAAUUGUUUGUGUUAUCGUUACUUGGCGUUUCAAGACAAAUUCCGGAUUACCGUUUAGCCGUCAAGUUAUUGGAGCGGUGGUUGCUCAAUUGUUUUGGCUUUGCAUGAAGGCUGUGCUCAGCUUUAUAGCCAAGGACGUUGUUACCAAAGGAUUAGCCCAUGACACUUUCGUGCUGUCAAUAAGGUCAAGUCGGUUAGAUUCGUCCUUAAAGGGGAUGAUGUAACCUAGUUCGGCUUCGAAGGAAAGGCGUAAUUGGGCGAUUGACGAAUGGCGUUUAUCGAGAUUGAUAGGCCGAGUAUGCCCAUGGUGGUAGAAAACGUUUUUCCACUUUAGGGUUAAUUUAUACGAUGAAAGUUUCGUAUAAUGUUUCCUUUAUUCGUAUGGAAGUUGUUUCCUUUGUUUCCUAGGGAGAUAAAGCCUAAGAAGCUCGAUACAGAGCCCGUGCGGAGUCAGUUGCGGGGUGAUUUCCUCCUCGGACGUGACCAAGCGGAAUGAGAGCGGAUGCCAGUGAGUCGCGGGGCUAAAGAAUGAGACCUUUCAGAUCGUGGUGCGAGGAAGUAAAGUUUAUAUUGGUUGUCCAAUGUCGGAUCAUACAGCUUGGUUUUUUGCUAUAAGGAAAGUAAUUUUUCGUAAAACCUGUUACGUUUACUUUCGAAAGUUACUUCAUAUGACAUGAUCUGAUCAUACGAAAGAUUUUUUGCGUAAGUAACGGGCGACUGGUUUUUACAAAUUUAUUAAAUUGACGCGACAUAUGGGGAUGUCAAAAUAACGAUGUUUCUGCAGAUUUUUGAAAAAUGUUUUCGCUUUUUUUUUUUUAUUCUUCGGUGAAAAUUUCUCUGAGUCACUCAUGGAGUUUUACCAAAGGUUAUUUCACCGAGAUCUAGUCGCAAAACGUUUUUGCAGGUUUCUUGAAUGAAUCAGUUAAACAGCGAUAGACUUAGUCGACGAGCGGGGAGGACGUGUUCUCUUUGUCGUAUUUUCUAUUACUUUUGUUCUUGAUUUUGCUUUGUCGCAAAUGUUUUUGAUGUUUUUUCGUGUAUUUCUACGAGAGUUUGCUUUGUCGAAAGCGUUUUCUUGUCGAAAGCGUUUUCUUGAUCUUGACGAGACAUCGCAUUGUUUGAAUAUGUUUUUGAAGUAUGGGAGUAUACGAGUAUAGUAUACGCACCUACUCCGUCCGUUUUUUCUCGAGGAAUAGAAUGAUCGACAGUCCGAGUCGGUUUGAAGACGACGCUUGGACUGUGAUUUGGUUGUUUCCAGGUUGAAGACUUGGAAUAUGUCGGUUCCGAGAGAAUUGCCAGAAACGAAUCGGUUUUAUGACGACGUUCAUGUCUCUAGUUUUUUCUCUCUUUAGGAAGCGAGCUUGAUAUGCGUGGCGAUCGUUUCUAGAUUUUCGGAAAGUUUAGAUCGGUUUGCAAGAUCUGGACGAACAGUUAUGGGACAAUAUAUCGAGACAGGAAAAAUCACCUGAGACUUAGUUCGCUAGACUAUCCCCCUAGAUUUUACGUUCCCUAAAGUUCUAUGGCAGUCUCAAAGGCGUUUUUAUUUCUUAGUAGUUUCCUACGAAAACUCCAAGUCUGAUUUCAAAAAUUUCAAGUCGCAAAUACCUUAGUUCUCUCGAAGAUGCAGUUUUGUCUCCUCUCAGUUUUGCUUGCUCAUUUCCCCUUCCUCUUCUUGUGUAUGUUCGCUUUUUUCGAUAUUGGUGUUUAUCCUUUGAGACUUGACAUUUAUCUUCCGAACUUGACUGAUACGAAGUCAAUAAAAAGGUUCCACGUAAUCGUAUAGUUGAGGCGGCUAAGGUGUUAAGUUAACCGUUGCCGUAUUAUACGAUUAAUUUGAAUCCACGCGAGAAAACUAGUCUUUGCGGGGGUUUUUUUUUUUUUUUUUAUCGUAAAGUUUCAAUGGUAACUCCAAUCGAGACGAAACAAGAGACGUUUCGAUCGAGAUUUGAAGGAGAACACAAAGAUGGAGGUAAGGGAGAGUAGGAGCAAGCGAAGGAGUUUAGACGAGUCUUACUUUUUUUUGCCGUAAAAUCUCAACGGAAACUCCGAUUGAGACGAAACGAAAAGCGUUUAGGCCUGAAAGGUCGCUAUGUAGCGAUCUGGAGGCGUGACAGGUCGCUACGUAGCGAGUGGAAGCAAGCCAAGAAGAGUCCUACUUGUUUUCGUCGUAAAAUCUCAACGGAAACUCCGAUUGAGACGAAACGAAAAGCGUUACGAUGAGGAUUCAAAAGAGAACGCAAAGGAGGACCCUUUUUAGGCCUGACAGGUCGCUACAUAGCAAGCUGUGUGCGUGCUCGGUCGCUACGUAGCGACCGAGCUGUGUGCGUGCUCGGUCGCUACGUAGCGACCAAGCUGUGUGCGUGCUCGGUCGCUACGUAGCGACUGAGCUAUGUGCGUGCUCGGUCGCUACGUAUCGACCGAGCUUGGCUGGAGCUCGGUCAUUACGUCGCGACCGAGCUAUGUUCUUGCUCGGUCGUUACGUAGCGAUCGAGCUUGGCUUGAGCUUGGUCGCUACGUAACAACCGAGCCAUGUGCUUGCUCGGUCGCUACGUAGCGACCGAGCUGUGUAAUCGAUUUGUUGCGCUUUCUUUUUCCGCGAUUAACCUAGGGGUUUUCUGCGGUUUUUGGGAGAACAAGGUUUACCCUUCCGAAAUAUUUUCGGAAAACGUGUUUUGGUAUAACCCUUAUGCAUUGAGAUUUCUUUUGUUCGGUAAUGAGCCAAACUUACGGGGUUUGAUAAGAUUUAUCGUUUUCCUUUAUGUUUAAAAAGAGAAAUCGUGAGCUCGUUUCGUUGCACUUUCUGUGGCGAAAAGUCGCAGCAAGGUUUUCGAUUUUCUCAAGAACUGUGGCGUUUGCAUAGGCGUUGGCCAUAAGCGCAGUGGCGGCUGGAGUUUUCUUACCAGCGUUGUUGCGAACUGUGAUUUUCUCUUUCGUAUUUCCAGACAUUGUUUUGAUCAAGCGUUUUGCGGCUAUGAGUUAUAGUAAUCCGUACCCCCCUCCUUCUAGCGCCAAACUGUGGGAACCGAAAUUCGCACCGUCGAUUUCUGUUUAAAUUAGGAAACUAGGAAAAUCCUAAUUUCCAAGAGGUCCCGGAUCUCUGCGAGAGCCAACGGCAAGUGACCAAAUAUAUGCGGAAAUCAUGAAAAGAUAACAAACGAGUUUAGAGAAAACAGUAGAUCUUAUUUUGAGUCCGCGUAAGAGUGUUUCGAUCAUUACAAGAGAUCAUAAAAGCUUUGGCCGCAAAGGCUGUCAGCGAGUUACCAAGUUCUAGCGGCCUAAAAGCUCAAACCUAGUUGAGUCACAGCUCGAUAAUAAAAGACGAAGAAAAUACAUGAAAGGUUUUUGAUUGAUUUCGGACUGAACCUUAUGAAAGGCUGCCUACGUACUCCUUUCGAGGAUCAAGCCGAACGUAGUUCAAGAGUGAACCAAAAGAUCGAACUGCUUGUGCGCGUUCGUCUGGUAAUCGGGUGCCAGUCAUGGAAACAGAGCAUGUCGAGAAUAAUGCCUCAGAGUUUCUAAGUGCCCAGAGUUAUGCCUCAGAGUUUCUCAGUCUAAAAAGUUCUCCCCCGUGCCUCUCGCCUAGGACUCCUUAUAUACUCGCUCCUAGGUCGGUUUACGCUUUUUUCUCUUCUGCCCUUAAGCCGUCAUAACUUAAAAAUGGAGAUAUUCCAUUUUUCCCGAUCUUUUUAAUUAUCUUCGAAUACUUCGUAUUUAUCCGCGGAAACUUGACAUUUAUCUUUCCUUGCGAACGGAUCAUAAACCGUCCUACGGUUUAUGGGCUUUUGGUUAAAAAUCGUAAGGUGGUUUCGAGUCACGUCUUAGGUCUCUUUGGGCCGUUGUUUGACUCGAAACGUUUAUUACGGCUUCUUUCGAUAAAAACGAACUUUCCGCGGUUUUUAUCGUAAAGUUCGAUUGAUGACUUCAAAUGACGAGAAACAUGAAAUGGGUUGGCUACGGUCUUCGGGAGAUAGCAUUAAAGAGUAGACGAGAAUGCAUGGAUUCGUUUCGUAUCGAUUUAUAAGAAAGCACUGUCGUUACGUAGCCACCGAGCUUCGGGGAGAGCUCGGUCGCUACGUAGCGACCAAGCUUCGGGGUGAGCUCGGUCGCUACGUAGCGACCGAGCACGCACACAGCUUGCUAUGUAGCGACCUGUCAGGCCUAAAAAGGGUCCUCCUUUGCGUUCUCUUUUGAAUCCUCAGCCGUGUACGUGCUUGGUCGCUACGUAGCGACCGAGCCGUGUACGUGCUUGGUUGCUAUGUAGGGACCGAGCUUCGGUGAGAGCUCGGUCCGUGCUCGGUCGCUACGUAGCGACCAAGCUUCGGUGAGAGCGCGGUCGCUACGUAGCGACCGAGCCAUGUACGUGCUUGGUCGCUACGUAGCGACCGAGCUUUGGUGUGAGCUCGGUCGCUACGUAGCGACCAGCUUUUGCGCUGGUUGCUACGCGGCAACCUUGUUCGCGUCUUUCUCCGAUUUUUCGUGAAUGUGUUUUCUCCGCAAGAUUCUUCGUAAAAAUAAAUCUUUUUCUAAGAUUUAUUUUUCGUAAAAACGUUCAUGCUGAUUUUUACGGACUUUCAGAUAUUGAUUCCGUCGUGACCGAUUUUGACCCCAACACUCCACGUGACCGUGGUGGAUCCAACAGAGAAAUUAUGUGGGGUCAUAAGUUGUGAUUUUCUUCUUUUUUUUUAAAUAGAAGAGGUUGAACCCUUUCUAACACUUUGCCAUAGUUACUUAAUAAACAAUAGCCUAGAAACUUAAAUUUAUAAGAUUUUUAUGGUGUCAGUUGACCCCACGUCCACUAAGGCUAGGUGGGUACGGACCGGACAGUUCGGGUCGUCCGCUAAGCUUCAUAGACCUAAAGCCAAAAACGGUGGCGUUUUGAACGAAAUACAUAACGGUAAACGUAUUUUUUCUUCUAAUAAAACAAAGAAGAACAGAAGAAGCCUCCUUGGGUCCCUCUCUUUCUCUAUCCUCUAAAUUAGUAAUCUAUCUAUAAGCGGGUACGUGGAAGUAUAUGGAAGUGCAGAAGCGAAAUUUUUAAAAAAAAUUAGUAAACGAGUACGUGUUGAAAGCGUAUCCAAUAUAUAUAUAUAUAUAUAUAUAAAUCAUUUAUUUAUUUAUAAUAAUUUUGAAAUGAUUUCAUAAUAAAACUGUGAAAAUACACAUAAAUUAAAUUUAAAAUAAAUUAUUAUAUUAAUUAUUUUUAAUACUUUAUAAUUAAUUGACAUAAUAUAUUUGAAUAUAUAAUUUAUCUUUAAUAAAAACCUCAAUGCAUAAAGAUAUUUUAUAGUACUAAUUUUAUAUUUUUAUAUUUCUAUUUUUUUAUUUAAUACUAUUACAAUUUUGAUUUUAUAUAAAUUAAAAAAGAAAAAUUCUCUAGGAUAGUUUUUUUUAAGUUUUUGUCACAAAAAUAGUAUUCAAUGAAGAAAAUGAUCAAAAUAAGUUUUAUUAAAGGGUAAAAAUGUGUUUUUACUCUAAGGUUAACUAAUCUAAACUUAAGGUUUAGAGUAAAAGUGUGGAGUUUUGGGGAUAGAAUUUCAAAAUUUUAUAAAUUAAAAAUUAAAAUUAAAAUUUUCAAAAUAAAAAUGGUUAUUUUGAUCAUUUUCUUUCUUGAGAGCUAUUUUAUGACAAACUAUUUGAGAGAAUUGCCCAACUAAAAAUUAUAUUUUUAUAUUUUUAUUGAUGUAAGACGUUGCAUUUUUUUUUAAGAAUGAAAAUUCAUUCCAAAACUGAAUCGUAAGCUUCCAAUGUAGAAUAUUUUAGAAGCUUUUUGGAAGAAGAAUCUCUAAGCUUCCAUAAGGUUCCAUUCCUAUUCCAGUUCUGAAGCUGAAAGCUACAUCAGAUGAAGCUUUCUUGCAACAUAGGUAAUCAUCGUCUCCUCUCUCUUCUCAUUGCUCUGCGCGUCUCAAUCAGUUAAACCUAUACACACGCUCAUACAUGGUACUAACGAAAUUGCAGUGACGGAGGCGCAAUGAUGUACGGAGGCGCGUCGAAACUCUGUCGCGGUAGGGGUGGAGGAGGAGGCGGCGGCGUCGGACCGGGCCGAAACCGCAAUUCCUUCCCUCUUCUUACGAACCGGCAUCCUUCUCCCGGUCGGGAGGAUGUCCUCCGGAGGUGGUGGCUCCUCCUCCGCCGCCUCAAGGCAGAGGAACAAAACCAGCGCCAAGGCGGCCGCCGCUACGCUAGAGGAAACCUUUAGCCUAGUUCCGAGGGAGAGUAUUUCAGCUUUUGGAAUGAUCAUACGGUUAGCUCCUGACUUGGUGGAGGAGAUCAAGCGCGUGGAGGCACAAGGUGGAAGAUCGAUGCGUUUCCUAACAAUACCACUAGGAAUGUUAGUCUCAUACUUAGAGAAAGAGGAUAACCCUAGUUUUGAGUUGAAUUGCAUUCUUUCAUUGAGUGAAUCUUGAAUUUGAUUGCUUCGGUAGUUUACACUUAUAUUGCUCUUUGUGCCAUUGAACAUUUUGACAAUUCAUUUCAAUGGACGAACCCUAGAUUAGUGAAAUUGGGGAAAAUAUCUGAUAUAGAAAGUAGAUGGUAAUGUAAUACUCGACAAUAAUAUGAUUUAGUUUCAGGCAUCUCUAUUAAGAUUUACUUGCUUCUUGGUUGAGAAUGUAUUUAUUGGUUGGUUAGUUUCUACUCAUUGAAGUGCUGCUUUAAUGGUCUCUUCAAAAACACCUACCUACUAGUGGCUGUCAAUUGGAUAUAUUAACAUCUCCUGCAUACCUUUUUGUCAUUAUAUUUCCCACUGCAUCUGGGUUUUGUUGUUUUCAUCGAAGUUGUUGUUAUCAGUUCACAUUAUGUCUUUUCUUCACGUGUCAUUUUUGUUUUUUGUUUUUAAAUUUGACGGCUUAUAUUUUGACACUGUCCAGCUGAUUUUGAUUUUGAUUUGAACAGAUAAUUAUUGUUGGUGGAAAGGAGUUCAAAUUUACCUGGUCUAGGGAGCGUGGUGACUUAUGUGAUAUAUAUGAGGAACACCAAAGUGGUGAAGAUGGAGAAGGUUUGCUGAUUGAGUCUGGAUGUGCUUGGCGGAAAUUAAACGUCCAGCGAACUCUAGAUGAGUCAACCACAAGCCAUAUGAAGAUGCGCUCAGUUGAAGCUGUACAGAGAAUCAAAUCACGCAAGUACAUCUUCUGACCUGAAUAUCUUUAACUUUUUGUUCAGCAUAGUCUGUCCUUUGCUGCAAAGGUGUCUGCUCUCUUAGAUUUUCUAUUUCCAGUUUUCUAUCGCCAGAUAUAUGGCUAUUUUCAUAUCCAAUAUCUGUUUACACCACCAUUGAUUGCCACUUUCUCUUUCUUUCUAUGCAUUAGAAAAAGCUGUUGGAGAUAGAGUCCCUAAUGCCGAAAAGAAAAUUGAACUAAUUUUGAAAAAAGUAAUGAAAAAAUUUGGUGUGGUUUUACGAGUGGAGCAUGUAUUAUUGUGUCCCUAAUUAUUGUUGAUUACCAGAUCGCAAAUUUCCAAGCUCCAAGGUAUUUCUUAAAACCAGGAACAGAUUCGAAAAGCUAUAAAAAGCAUUCACCUGAUAGCAUAUGGUACGCGUACCCUUCCAAUUUAGUGUAGACUGAAUUGAGAAGCUAUAAAUUAUAACACGUGAUCUUAUAUACUUAUGUCUUCUUCCCCUGUAUUGUCGUAUUGGGUUUAGUAAAGAUUUUAUUUUUCAGCUCACCUAAACACCAGCAAUCGUUACCAAUCACUGAGUGCAGUCGUGAUCAGUUACAUGUUCCAGGGGUAGCAACAAGGAGAACUUUUCAGUGUGCGAGCGGAACGGAGAAGUUUCACAAGACUGUUUACCUGCGCAUCUAGUAGAGCAACUGAAUGCGCAAGAAAGUGUUGACAUUUUGCAUCAUUCACCUGGUAUUCUUCAUGAGGAAAAACUAUCUGGAAAUAGAGAUGGCCAGGCUCGUAGCUCUAGUGAUAGUGACAGUGAGAGUGAUAAUAGCGACAGUGGAAAUGACAGCGGGAGCAGCAGCGAUAGUGAGGCUUCUUCUAACAAGGAAAGUUCUGAUGAGGAGGUGGAUAUCAUGAGCGAUGGUGAUAAAGAGCCUCAACAAUCAAUACAGUCAGCUGAACGGUUUGCUAUUGAUCUCCCAGGCCAUGGUUCUGAUGUAGCUGCCGUCGAGGGUAAUGAUUCUGAUGCUGCUGACUUCGAGGGUCAUGAUUCUGAUCCAGUUGACAUCGAUGGUCACAGUUCAGAUGAGGAUCACUGUUCUGAAGCUGACAGGAAAAAGUUCUCGGAUGAUAACUGGAAAAUGGAAGCAAGAACUGGUACCACUCCCACUACAAAUGAAGAAGUUGGCAUUUCAGGGCAGGAACAAUUACCUUCUGGCGACGACAAUCUACGAGAGCGCCAAAAUUUUAUUGGACAGAUGUUUGAUUACACGGAUAAUACAACGAAUGAUAGCUUAACCAAUGACCAGCGUGACAUCUCUGAGAGGCUAGGCAAAGAUCAGGACCAAAUAGCCCCUGCUUUAGACCACUACAGUCAGCAAUCAGCACGAGUGAAAAACAUGAAAUACCAGCAAUUACCUGCCGCGGGUAGAGAUUCAGAGCCUUCAGAGCGCAAGUGUGAUGCAGAAUAUCUCAAAGCUUUUGCCACUCAGAUGAUAGAUCCACUUAAAGGACUUCAGCAGUCGUCGAUCCAAAAGUUGAAUGGACCUGGUCAGAUGAAGCCUGUUGAUAGUUCAGGUAGACCAAACACACGUGAUACACUAAAAAUGAAUCCUUGCUACUGUCAAAUUAACAGUGGUAAUUAACAGUGGUAAUUGUAAUAUUUGAGAUUCAAUCCAGAUGAUCAGUUUACUCUUUACUCUUAUGAGUUCAAUAAUAAGCUGAGAAACAAGUGGGGUUUUGAGAAUUAAUUGUGACGCAAGUAACUAGAAUACCUAGAUGGUUCAAAUUCGAUUUAAAUGAAACCGGCUUAGGGUUAUUAAUCGGGUGUCAAUGCAAAACUAAACAACUAUUCAAGUGCAAUGAGGUGCAGUCUAGAACUCAGAUCACUCGGCUAGAACAAUCCACUAUCGUGGUCUUGCUCCCUUUGCAGAUCGGUCUUGAAUCCUAAGUUCUCACUUGGAACAAGACGCGACAACAAGCCUUAGAGACAAGAUCUGAUUAGUUCACUUAAUACCCUAAUAUCUACUCUCGCUGAUUAGGGAUACAAAGCUCAUUCAAUAUAUGUCAAUUUAUCUCCUAAGCGGUUAGCUAGGUGAUUAAAUCAGAAAUCGAACAUUAAGUGAUCAAUUCAAUGUAAGCGGUAAGAACAAUAUGAAUGAAGAACAGUUAAGAUCACUUAUUUGUGUACAGUUCAUGCGGCUAACACCCUACAACCCUAAGCAAGCUUAGCCUACUACUCAAUCAUAAAGCAGGAUGACACAGACAUGGUUUUUGAAUAAUACUGUAUAUAAAAUAAAGUAGAAAGACAAAAGUUCAGGAUGAUCUUCUCGUGAGGAUGAAGCCUUCUCCCUUACAAGUUGCUUAAUCCAAAGAAAAUAGUUUUCGGUCUCUUGCAAAACUAGCGUAAGAAAAAAAAAUGAUAGAUAGGCCUUUUUAUAUGGAGUCGCUGGUGGUAAAGAGAUAAGAGAGAGUGGAAUCUAGAACAAACUUCCGGAAUAGGAAGUUUCCUUAAUGAUUGGGAACAGUCAGACGCUUGUUCUCUUCGGGAACAACCUUUGGGUUGUUCUAGAUGGCUGUUCCGCAUCGAAUCCUUCAAAACGACAUCUAAAUUCCUGAAUUUCUCUUCUUUACUCUUUCACCUGCUCCAAACCUGGAAUGAUAUCAAUUAAACAUGAAUUAGGACUGAGAAUUAGCUCAAAGCACACAUAUAAUGGUAUUAAAAACACCUUAUAUCAAUUCCCCCAGACUUAGAUCCUUGUUUUUCCUCGAACAAGGCCAAGCCUCAAGAACAGGGAGAAAGGUUUGAAAGAGUGGGAACUCGCUUUUCCUGAAUAAUCAUGCUCUUACCACACAUCUCUGAACCAUACAAGCUGUAGACUUAGACCGCACACCCUUACCAGAACACCCACGAUCGCCGUUCGAGAAUCAGCUCCAUACUCUCUAUCUCAUACCUGAAAAGGUCGCACUAUCGAGACAAAACUCCUUAAACAUCAAUUAAGAACAGCGUGAGCUUCUCUUUACAUGCACUAUUCAGGGUAGACGGGUUGAUAAGGAACAAGCUGUUUUAUGGUGGAGCUGAGAGUGUUUAGGGGCUACCGUAUUUGAGUGUAUGCAGGAUAUCGCGCAAAAUAGCAAGAGAGGGCGGAUCUAUUGAUGUCCACAACCCUUACUCGUUUCUGCUUCACGGAUGUGGCUGUUCUCCACUUCGGGUCAAUCAUAUGACUGUUCUCUAGCUCUUGACUUCUUUUCUUAUUCCCCAAAAAUCGGUACCAACUGUGGGAACCGAAAUUCGCACCGUCGAUUUCUGUUUAAAUUAGGAAAGUUAGGAAAACCCUAAUUUCCCAAAGGUCCCAGAUAUAACAAGAUAGAAGCAUAGGCUAUGAGAGCUGUCGGCGAGAUUCCUAGUUCUAACAACCUAAGAGUGCAAAACCUAGUUGAGUCGCAGCUCGAAAUAACAAAAACGGAAAGUUGCCUAAUUGCUCUAAGUGCUAAGUUUUCUCUGAGAAAGUCUUCCUCCAUGACUCUCGCCUAGGACUCCUUAUAUACUGGCUCCUAGGUCGGUUUACGCUUUUCCUCUUCUGCCCUUAGGCCGCCAUAGCAUAAAAAUGGAGAUAUUCCAUUUUUUCCGAUCUUCGUAAUUAUCUUCAAAAUUUCGUAUUUAUCCGCAGAAACUUGACAUUUAUCUUUCCUUGCGAACCAAGCGUAAACCGUCAUGCGGCGUAGCGAUCUUUUUCGACUCUUGUCCGAUUUCUCGUGUUUCCUCCGCAAAGCUUUUCGUAAGGAAGAAUCUAUUUCGAAAAGGUAUUUGCCGAAGAAGGUUUUUCGUUUUCUUCUUUGGACGUUUUGAAUGUUAAAUUCGUUGUAACCGUUUUUGACCCCAAUAGUUAGCUCCCCAGCUCGUUAGAGUCGAGACUCUAGCGUGCGGUUUGACGUUUUUGGCAAAGUUAGGCGUAUUGAACGAAGUUUACUUCAAACUCUGCGGAAGAGAAUUCUCGAGAAAGUGUAUAUUAAAAAAUAUAAAAUUCCGAGCCCAUACUUCUAUAAGUAGUGAGCUCUUGCCAUUCAUUUGCUUCACACCUUCCCUUCUUCAAACCUCCAAAACCUCUCUAGCUCCAAAUCUUUUGCCUUUAACAUGUCUUCUUCCCAUGGUGACAAGAGAAGUUCCGAUGUUGAGAUGGGCGAGGCCACCUCUCCGGCUCUGAUUCCGACUUCUCCGGUCGAAGAGCCGGCUUGCGUUUCCGACCAUCUCUCCUUUCGAGAGAGACUAGUUCGUCGUCAAGCCGAGAAGGAACAGGUUCGAGCCGGCGCCGAGUUCCCGUCCUCUUCUGCACUGGCCAUUGCUCCGGGUCAUGGGACCGAGGUCGUAACUCCGCGAGAUACGGGAACUCCCGCAAGCUCGGUCGUUCCGGAUGCUUCGGCUUUACCUGCUGGAUCGUCCACGACUCCGAUUCUCGUCGAGGAUAAGGAGAGGGCUGCUGAUUCUAUGCCUCCUCCUCCGGUCAGGAAAGAGAUUGUUCUAGAGCUGUGCGCUCCUAGUGUUGUUCUGGUUGCUCAGCCUAAGGGCCGAAAGAGGAAGUUUACCAAGGGCGGUGACGGGGAAUCUUCGCAGCAAGGAGACUCGAGCAUAGCAUCGGGGCUUCGCGGAAAGGUUUGUCACUCACUUACUUUCUUGAUUGUUACAUAUUUCUCUGAAAGACAAAGAAUCCCUACCUUUCUUCUUGUUUCGCAGUUCAUGUCGUUGAUUGACGGGAUGAUCAGCGAGUGCGGUUCUGAGACUAGUCGUCUCGCCGAGGAGUUAUUGGAGCUGCAGGGUAGAUGGCUGAAACCGAGGCCAUGCUGACGGCUGUCAAGGAUUCUCACUCCGUGAAAGUGUCAAAACUCGAGGUCGCGUUAGGGGAGCUCGAGAGGGACCUCGAGAAGACGGCAAGUUCAUUGCUUAAGGAGAAGAAAGCCAGGAAGGCCAAAUCUUCGGAGGUGCGUCGUCUUCAGCGUCAGAUCGAGGGCGAUGCAGGGUUAGCGAGCCGCGGGAUUCGAGACGCGGGAUUNNNNNNNNNNNNNNNNNNNNNNNNNNNNNNNNNNNNNNNNNNNNNNNNNNNNNNNNNNNNNNNNNNNNNNNNNCUUCUUCGUUCUGAGUUUAAGGUCGCUUGGCGAAGAUCUCCGCCUUUCUGGGCUCCCUCGAGUGCAUUCGGAACAGGUAUUUAGCCUUGGCGACGAUUGAGGGCGGGAUGGCCGUGGUUCAGUCGUUCCAGUGUGAGACUCCUCCGACCUUAGAGGCCGAAGAGGUCCGACUGUCAGGCUGCAAGGGAGAUUUUGCAGUCGUGGAUGGAGAUUUCGAUCUCAUCCUAGCUGACCUGAAAUCCGCAUGCUUUCUUCUGACGUGUUCAGAAGGCCCAGAGGGGAAAGAUCCGGUGCUCGGAGAAGGCGGAGGUGAUGCGGCUCCAGGCUUGGACGAAGCGACGGGUGAAGAGGGAGCGUUAGCUCUGAGGACGACCUUGGUUAGAUCUCUUGCGGGAGAUUUUUUUUUUUUUUUAAUGUUUGAUGCUUCGGCCUCAAAUGGCCUUAUUUCGUGUUUCGGGACUGGCCGUAUGUGGCUUUGAGUCCCUGCCGCUCUGCGGUUUUCUUUUUAUGACAAGAUGGUCGAGUUGCAUUUUUCAUAAGCUUAUGUAUGGCGUGGAAGAAGGGUGAUGAGUUGUCGUCUCAUAUCCUUCUUCGAUGUGAAAUGUUUUGUUCGAGAUCUGUUUCGAGAGUUUUUCCGCGAGAUAUCGACUUCGCGGGAUAUCUGAAGAUGUCGAAUAUAAACAUAGAGGCAUGGUUUUGGGAUCUCGUAUCUCUUGGAUAUCAUGCCUUGAGAUGUUAGAGACCAGUGCGCUUGGUUUAGGGCAAGACCUAGGUUUACUUUCGGUUUUCAGAUUUUAUGCGGUGACUAGCCGGCUAUCGGUUUUUCUGUCGCGAUUUUAACCUGAUUCAUAACGAUUUUAAGUCCGCGAUAGGUUCUCGGCUUAUAUGACUUGUUAGAUAUAACUUGUUGGAUGUAUGAGAGUCAUCUUUGUGAGAUGGCUAUGUCUGUUUAGGACGUUCAAAAGUUCGAUGUGAUUUGCACCGAACUUGGCGGCAUAUACCGUCGUUUAGAGUUUUUGCGCAAGGUAUGUGUUAAAAUGUUCAUCAUUUUUUUACGGAGUGUCCGUUUUCGUCGUUCGGAAGAAGUAACCGUCGAGGCAUCUCUCGCAACGUCUCGUGAUGCCAAAGGCUGCUUCUCCCUAACGGCUGAUUUAUUUUCGAAUAUCGAAAAUGUUUUGCGGAAAAAAAUAAUUUGCUUGGUUAAGAUAUGUCGGAAACAUCGAAGGCGUGGUCGGAUGUUUUCGAGUUUGAGAGUAUACAAGUAUAAGUAUCCACUCCCCCCCCUUUUAAUGAGGGGGGGACAGCUGAAUUUGCCUUUCGAUAAACUGCCUACGUACUCCUUAUGGAGAUCAAGCCGUCUCGUAGUUCGUUCAUUGCGAGUUGGUAUGUUUAGUGAUAGUAUUUUUUGAGAUGCAUCGCGUUCCAGGUCUUUGGAAUUCUUAUGCCUUGCAUGUUGGCUAUUUCGUAAGAGCCCGGUCGGACAGCUGAAUUUGCCUAUCGAUAAACUGCCUACGUACUCCUUAUGGAGAUCAAGCCGUCUCGUAGUUCGGUCAUUGUGAGUUGGUUUGUUUAGUGAUAGUAUUUUUUGAGAUGCAUCGCAUUCCAGGUCAUUGGAAUUCUUAUGCCUUGCAUGUUGGCUAUUUCGUAAGAGCCCGGUCGGACGACUUUUUCGAUUUUAUAGGGUCCUUCCCAGUUUGCCCCGAGUUUUCCCGCGUUUCGUUCAGCGGUGUUUUGGAAGACUUUGCGAAGGACCAGAUCUCCUUGAUUAAAUAUGUGAUUACGUACGUUGGAAUUGUAGUACUUUGCGGCUACGUGUUGGUAAUUUUGGAUUCGAAUGAGCACUCGAUCUCGGUGCUCGUUAAUGAGAUCGAGAUUGUCUAGGAGCAUUGCGUUGUUGAGCUCCUCUCGUUCGGGAAGUAAUCUUUUUCGAACACCGGGGAACUCUACUUCUGCGGGAAUCAUGCAUUCCGUUCCGUACACCAGAGCGAAAGGGGUUUCUCCUGUUGCUCACCUAGGGGUGGUACGGUGGGACCAGAGGACUCCCUCGAGUUCAUCGGCCCACCGGCCUUUUUUGGCCUCUAAGCGUUUCUUCAGUCCGUCGAGAAUGGUUUUAUUAAUCGUUUCAGCUUGUCCGUUACACUGCGGAUAUCUGGGCGUCGACUUGUUAAGUCGUAUCUUCCAUUUUUCGCAUAACGCCUCGAAUCGGGUGGAGAUAAUCUGAGAUCCGUUAUCGGUUACGAUUUCGUAAGGAACUCCAUGCCUACAGAUGAUGUUUCUCCAUACCAAACUUCCGACUUAGACAUCUUUUAUACUCGCGUACGAAUCUGCCUCUAACCAUUUUAAAAAGAAAUCGGUGAGGACUAAAAGGAAACGCUUUUGCUUUGAAUUAUGAAGGGGACCGACGAUGUCCAUGGCCCAGCGCAUAAAAGGAUAGGGCGAUGUGAUGGAGGAGAGAACUUUGGCUGGUUGUCGAAUGGUUGGAGCAUGCCUCUGGCAUUUUUUGCAUUUUCGUGCGAACUUCUCGCAAUCUCCGAUCAUCGUUGGCCAGUAGUAUCCAUGGCGUUUGAUCUUCACUGCCAGCGAUCUUCCGCAGGAAUAAUUGCCGCAGGACCCAAAAUGUACUUCUUCCAUCAUUUUUCUUGCUAUUUCCCCUUCCGGGCACGUCCAGAGAAUCUCCAUUUGUAAAUUUCGCCGUCUACUGUUACGUAGCGCGCGGCCUGUGAUAAGGAACAAGCUGUUUUAUGGUGGAGCUGAGAGUGUUUAGGGGCUACCGUAUUUGAGUGUAUGCAGGAUAUCGCGCAAAAUAGCAAGAGAGGACGGAUCUAUUGAUGUCCACAACCCUUACUCGUUUCUGCUUCACGGAUGUGGUUAUUCUCCACUUCGGGUCAAUCAUAUGACUGUUCUCUAGCUCUUGACUUCUUUUCUUAUUCCUCGAAAAUCGGUACCAACUAUGGGAAUCGAAAUUUGCACUGUCGAUUUCUGUUUAAAUUAGGAAAGUUAGGAAAAUCCUAAUUUUCCAGAGGUCCCGGAUAUAACAAAGUAGAAGCAUCGGCUAUGAGAGCUGUCGGCGAGAUUCCUAGUUCUAACAACCUAAGACUGCAAAACCUUGUUGAGUCGCAACUCGAAAUAACAAAAACGGAAAGUUGCCUAAUUGCUUUAAGUGCAAAGUUUUCUCUGAGAAAGUCUUCCUCCAAGCCUCUCGCCUAGGACUCCUUAUAUACUGGCUCCUAGGUCGGUUUACGAUUUUCCUCUUCUGCCCUUAGGCCGCCAUAGCAUAAAAAUGGAGAUAUUCUAUUUUUUCGAUCUUUGUAAUUAUCUUCAAAAUUUCGUAUUUAUCUGCGGAAACUUGACAUUUAUCUUUCCUUGCGAACCAAGCGUAAACCGUCAUGCGGCUUACGGGCUGUUGGUUAAGAAAUCGUAAGUUGGGCCUCGAGUCAUGUCUUAGGUCCCUUUGGGCCGUCUCCUGACUCGAAGCGUUUAUUACGGCUUCUUUCGAUAAAGAACGAACUUUCCGCGGUUUUUACCGUAAAGUUUGAUCGAUGACUUAGAAUGGCGGGAAACAUGAAAUGGGUUCGCUACGGUCUUCGGGAGAUAGCAUCGAAGGGUAGACGAGAAUGCAUGGACUAAUGUUGUAUCGACGUUUCGGAAGAGAUCGGUCGCUACGUAGCGANNNNNNNNNNNNNNNNNNNNNNNNNNNNNNNNNNNNNNNNNNNNNNNNNNNNNNNNNNNNNNNNNNNNNNNNNNNNNNNNNNNNNNNNNNNNNNNNNNNNNNNNNNNNNNNNNNNNNNNNNNNNNNNNNNNNNNNNNGCUUCGGCUCGAGCUCGGUCGCUACGUAGCGACCGAGCGGAACGAAUGCUUGGUCGCUACGUAGCGACCGAUCUUUGGCUCGAGCUCGGUCGUUACGUAGCGACCGAGCUUGGCUCGAGUUUGGUCGCUACGUAGCGAUCGAGCGGAAUACGCGUUCGGUCGUUGCGUAGCGAUCUUUUUCGAGCUCUUGUCCGAUGUCUCGUGUUUCCUCCGCAAAGCUUUUUGUACGGAAGAAUCUAUUUCGAAAAGGUAUUUGUCGAAGAAGGUUUUUCGUUUUCUUCUUCGGACGUUUUGAAUGUUAACUUCGUUGUAACCGUUUUUGACCCCAACACCAACUCUUUGCUCAACCCUUCCCAGUGGCGUGUAUCUUCCGAAGUUACCUUCACCGUCUCCAUCAUAAAAUAAAUAAAAGCAUACAGUAUAUAUAUUUUUUUUUGUUUUUGAAUAAUAUUGAUGGGGUUUCGAGGGAAUGGUAUCGGGGUGAAUGUUUUGCAGCCACUGGUGGUCUAUCCUUUUGUUUCUCACGGGUCGCCAUUGUUCUUCUGGUCAGAUCAUUGACCCUUGAAUGUUCUUCUUAUUAGGCUUGAUCUUGUCAACUGUUCUCAUUAUGCUCGCUCUCUCUUCUCUGAAUGUAAGGCAUUAACGAGUAAGGGGCUGCGUUAAUCCUAUCCUCUCCGGCCUUUUUGCACAUAUCUGCACAUAUGACAUUGAAAAACAGAGUGCAUGAGGGUGAAAAUAAAGGCUUAGGUACAAGGUUGGAACUAGCUAAAGAUGAGCUAGCCACUCAGGAUCAACAAGAUUGGUAAAAAGAAUAAGAAGCCCUGAGUGUGGGUCUCGUUUCCCUGAUCUAGUGCCCAUAACAAGAAGAAUUUCAGUCAGGAUUAGGUUCAAGUUAGGUGAAGUUGAGUCUACCCAGUGUAACCUUAUCGGAUGAGAGCUUCUGUAGAAUCAAAUGAGAUAAGUAAGAGGGUGUUCCAGGUCCAAGUGUGGGUCUUUCAUCAUUGCUAAGGUCACUGGAUAAGAAUGUUAGAGCACGAGGUGGUUAAUAGAAUAUAUCACUUGGUCCUAAUUCCCAAAAGAGUUUUAGCUGACUCGAUUCUAAACUGACUCAAUAAAACAUCCAAAUGACAUAAGGACUGACUCAAAAACAAAGAAAUAAAGUUUCAGCACACAGUGCUUCGCCCAGACUUAAUUUACACAAUCCCGGGUGUGAAAUGAAUCUGAGGUCAGCCUAAAAUCAACACAAGGCAUAAAAACAAAACAUAAAAAUAAAGAGUUCAGAUGGAUAUAACAAUGGAUAGAGAAUAGUCCUCGCGGAUUCAGUCGGACUCGCCGCUCUCGGCUGGAUCAAACAAACGUCUGUUGCGCGAGCGAUGAACCUCUUCGGUCGAAGUGCCUAUUCCCAUAGGCGCCUUUCCUGGUCGGUACGAUCGUGGAAUCUGCUCUGCUGGAGGCUGUCGCUGGUUACUUCCGCCAAUGCAGCCUCCAGUGAUGAGAUGGAGGAUCCUCCGCAUGAGGCUGUUGUUCUUCCGCUGCGAGUCAACCAUCCAGCGUCGGUAAGCCUGAUCAUCGGUCACAUCAGCCAGCUCUCUGAGGUCGUAUGAUGGUUCAGCUUCUGGGGUGAUGUCCUCAACAUCUUCCAUGUCCGCGUCAGGUGCUGCAGCACAUGGAUCAGUGCAAAGGAGCUCAGGUGGAGGGAGGAAGCGUAUGUUGUCGAACACGCUGAACAUGGUGAUCUCAGUGGGCAGGUGUCCGCUGAUAAUUUGCGGGCUGCCCAUUUCUCAGUGGGCAGGUGUCCGCUGAUAAUUUAGUCUCGAAUAGUCUGCAGCCAUGGGGUAUCGCGGCUGUAAUCUGAUUGCUCCGAAUGCGGUUGUGUCGUAACUUUUUUUUCUUCGUCAUCUUGACCUUCUAUGAGGUUGACGACGAUUGGUGGUCCGAUGCUCGGAUGUUAGAUGAACUCGACCGGAAUUACCCUUUUAAGUCAUGGGUCAGAACUUGAUGCUAAGGCCGCGAGAGCAUCUGCCUGGACGUUUUCGGAACGGGGAAUUCACGUAAGGGCAAAACAGUCAAACUUUUGAGCUUUUUUUUGGACCAGUUUGAGGUAUGCGUCCAUCCGUUCGUCCCUGGCUUCAUACUCUCCGCUGAACUGACUUGCCACUAACUGGGAGUCGCAGUAAGCGUGGAUGUUUCGUAUCUUCAAGCCGUGAGUCAAACGCAGCCAUGCGAUGAGUGCUUCGUAUUCGGCCUCGUUGUUUGAGGCGUGAAAUUCCAGCCUUAAUGACUGCUCUAAGAUCUCGCUCGUCGGAGAUGUGAGGCGAAUUUUGAUGCCUGAUCCCUGCUUAGACGAGGAUCCGUCGACGUGGAGGAGCCAAGUGGAAUUUGGUUCCUCGUUGGUUAUGGUCUCUGUCGCUAGUUCGACCAAGAAGUCUGCAAGCACUUGUGAUUUUGCGCUUGUUCUCGAUCGGUACUCGAUAUCGUUCUCGCUCAAUUCGAUCGGCCAUUUGGCAAACCGGCCCGAUUGACUCGGGCUAUGCAGAAUUGUCCGUAGGGGAAAAGUCGUGAGGACGAUGAUCGUGUGGGAUUGGAAAUAUGGUCCUAGUUUUCGGGCCGAUGUUACGACCGUUUAUGCUAAUUUUUCCAUUAACGGGUAUCUAGAUUCGACAUCCUGCAAGGUUUUGCUUAUAUAGAAUAUAGGUUUCUGUUUGCCGCGUUCUUCCCUGAUCAGCACCCCGCUCACAGCUGUUGCCAAUACAGCGAUGUACAAGAACAAAGGUUCCCCCUCCACGGGUUUUGCGAGGACUGGAGGGGAAGCUAAAUACCGCUUCAGCUGUUGGAAAGUGUUUUCGCAUUCUUCCGACCAUUCGAAUUUUUUAUUUCCCCGUAAGACAUCGUAGAAGGGCAGACACUUAUCCGUUGAUCGUGAAAUAAACCGGUUAAGUGCCGCGACUCUACCAGUCAGCCUUUGGACUUCCCGCUUAUUCUUCGGUGAAGCCAUCUCGAUCAGUGCGUUGAUCUGUUUUGGAUUAGCUUCGAUGCCGCGAAAUGUGACAAGGUAGCCGAGGAAUUCCCCUGAUGCUACGGCAAACCUGCAUUUUGUCGGGUUGAGCUUCAUGUUAUGGGAAUUUAGCUGCGCGAAACAUUCCUCGAGAUGUGAAACGUGAUCCUUUGCUUGGAGGGAUUUGACGAGCAUGUUGUCGAUAUAAACCUCCAUCGUUUUACCGAGUUGUUUGAAGAACAUACGGUUCACGAGUCGUUGGUAAGUUGCACCAACGUUUUUGAGGCCGAAGGGCAUUACCUUGUAGCAAUAGGUUCCGCGAUCGGUAAUGAACGCAGUCUUCUCGCGAUCGUCAGGGUUCAUCAUAAUUUGAUUGUAACCUGAGAAGGCGUCCAUGAAAGACAGAAGUUUGUUACCUGUCGUUGCUUCUACUAAUCGAUCGAUAUGUGGCAGAGGGAAACUCUCUUUUGGACAGGCCUUGUUUAGGUCAGUAAAAUCCACGCAAACUCGCCAUUUUCCGUUUUUCUUUUUAACUACUACAGGGUUAGCGAGCCAGUCUGGAUACCUCACUUCCGUUAUUGACCCGACUUUAAGCAAUUUUUCGACCUCGUCGUUUACCGCGGAAGCCCGUUCAGGUCCUAGCUUCCGUCUUUUUUGUUUGAUGGGUUUGAAGGUUGGAUUGAUAUUUAAUUCGUGACACGUUAUGUUAAUGUCGAUCCCUGGCAUAUCUUCCACGGCCCAUGCGAAAGUGUUGAGGUUCUUUUUUAGACAGGUUAUGAGCUCUGUCCUCAAAGGCUCGCGGAGAUUGGCUCCGAUCUCGACGCAUCGUUCCAGAGAUGCUUCGUCGAGACAGAUUGUGACCACAGGUUCGCAAGUUGGUUUGCGUUUUUCCUCUAGGGGCGUGAUGUUACGAGACUGCCAGAAGAGUUCCUCCGAAUCUUGACUUCGCGAAUCCUUGUUGGAGAUCUUUUUCUCCGCUUUUCUAGGAGUGGUCUCGAGGUCUGGUCUUUUUCGUUUUUGUUCUGCGGCGUAACACACCUGUGGUACUCCUUGGUUUCCCCAUAUUACCUCGACUCCGUUAGGGGUUGGAAACUUGAGGCAAAGAUGGUACGUUGAUGGGAUAGCACGCAUGGUGUUCAACCAUGGCGUUCCCAUGAUAACUUUGUAAGAUGUGGGACGGUCAACGACUAGAAACUUUGUGACUCUUGUCACGGUUCCGGCUUUGACUACGAGAUUAAUCGACCCGUAGGCCAUGGUCGUUUCUCCUGAAAGUCCCAGUAGUGGGAUAGGGUAUUUCACGAUUUCGGAUUGAUCGAUCCCCAUUUUCUCGAGAGUAUCUUUGAAGAUGAUAUCAGCCGAACUUCCGGUGUCGAUUAGCAACCUAGCGAUGUCGACAUCUCGGAUCGUCAGUUCGAUAACAAGGAGAUCGUUUCGAGGUUUGGCUCGAUUGACUGUUGCUCCCCCCUUGAACGAGAUGACGUUCGCGCACGUCGAGUCUUGCAUAUCGUUCCUGAUCGUUGAGUGGCUUUUGCGGGUUAGAUUGAUCCGUACCCCCCCCCCUCCUUCUAGCGCCAAACUGUGGAAACCCAAAUUCGCACUUUCAAUUUAUGUUUAAAUUAGGAAAGUUAGGAAAACCCUAAUUUUCCAGAGGUCCCGGAUAUAACAAGAAAAGAAAGCAAAAGGAGUUUUAUUCCGAAUUCGCGUAUGAGCGUUACAACAAGGUAGAAGCCUCGGCUAUGAGAGCUGUCGGCGAGAUUCCUAGUUCUAACAACCUAAGAGUGCAAAACCUAGUUGAGUCGCAGCUCGAAAUAACAAAAACGGAAAGUUGCCUAAUUGCUCUAAGUGCUAAGUUUUCUCUGAGAAAGUCUUCCUCCAUGCCUCUCGCCUAGGACUCCUUAUAUACUGGCUCCUAGGUCGGUUUACGCUUUUCCUCUUCUGCCCUUAGGCCGCCAUAGCAUAAAAAUGGAGAUAUUCCAUUUUUUCCGAUCUUCGUACUUAUCUUCAAAAUUUCGUAUUUAUCCGCGGAAACUUGACAUUUAUCUUUCCUUGCGAACCAAGCGUAAACCGUCAUGCGGCUUACGGGCUGUUGGUUAAGAAAUCGUGAGUUGGGCCUCGAGUCAUGUCUUUGGUCCCUUUGGGCCGUCUCCUGACUCGUAGCGUUUAUUACGGCUUCUUUCGACAAAGAACAAACUUUCCGCGGUUUUUACCUUAAAGUUUGAUCGAUGACUUAGAAUUGUGGGAAACAUGAAAUGGGUUCGCUACGGCCUUCGGGAGAUAGCUUCGAAGGGUAGACGAGAAUGCAUGGACUAAUGUCGUAUCGACGUUUUGGAAGAGCUCGGUCGCUACGUAGCGAUCAAGCGAAACGGACGCUCGGUCGCUAUGCUUCGGCUUGGGCUCGGUCGUUACGUAGCGACCAAGCUUCGGCUCGAGCUCGGUCGUUAUGUAGCGACCGAGCUUGGCUCGAGUUUGGUCGCUACGUAGCGAUCGAGCGGAAUACGCGUUUGGUCGCUGCGUAGCGAUCUUUUUCGAGCUCUUGUCUGAUGUCUCGUGUUUCCUCCGCAAAGCUUUUCGUAAGGAAGAAUCUAUUUCGAAAAGGUAUUUGUCGAAGAAUGUUUUUCGUUUUCUUCUUCGGACGUUUUGAAUGUUAACUUCGUCGUAACCGUUUUUGACCCCAACACCAACUCCUUGCUCAACCCUUCCCAGUGGCGUGUAUCUUCCGAAGUUACCGUCACCAUCUCCAUCAUAAAAUAAAUAAAAGCAUGCAGUAUAUAUAUAUUUUUUUUUGUUUUUGAAUAAUAUUGAUGGGGUUUCGAGGGAAAGGUAUCGGGGUGAAUGUUUUACAGCCACUGGUGGUCUAUCCUUUUGUUUCUCACGGGUCGCCAUUGUUCCUCUGGUCAGAUCAUGCACCCUUGAAUGUUCUUCCUAUUAGGCUUGAUCUUGGCAACUGUUCUCAUUAUGCUCGCUCUCGCUUCUCUGAAUGUAAGGCAUUAACGAGUAAGGGGAUGCGUCAAUCCUAUCCUCUCUGACCUUUUUGCACAUAUCUGCACAUAUGACAUUGAAAAACAGAGUGCAUGAGGGUGAAAAUAAAGGCUUAGGUACAAGGUUGGAACUAGCUAAAGAUGAGCUAGCCACUCAGGAUCAGCAAGAUUGGUAAAAAGAAUAAGAAGCCUUGAGUGUGGGUCUCGUUUCCCUGAUCUAAUGCCCAUAACAAGAAGAAUUUCAGUCAGGAUUAGGUUCAAGUUAGGUGGAGUUGAGUAUACCCAGUGUAACCAGAUCGGAUGAGAGCUUCUGGAGAAUCAAAUGAGAUAAGUCAGAGGGUGUUCCAGGUCCAAGUGUGGGUCUUUCAUCACUGCUAAGGUCAUUGGAUAAGAAUGUUAGAGCACGAGGUGGUUAAUAGAAUAUAUCACAAGGUCUUAAUUCCCACAAGAGUUUUAGCUGAUUCGAUUCUAAACUGGCUCAAUAAAACAUCCAAAUGACAUAAGGACUGACUCAAAAACAAAGAAAUAAAGUUUCAGCACACAGUGCUUCCCCCAGACUUAAUUUAUACCAUCCCUGGUGUGAAAUGAAUCUGAGGUCAGCCUAAAAUCAACACAAGGCAUAAAAAUAAAACAUAAAAAUAAAGAGUUCAGAUGGAUGUAACAGUGGAUAGAGAAUAGUCUUCACAGACUCAGUCGGACUCGCCGCUCUCGGCUGGAUCAAACAAACGUCUGUUGCGCGAGCGAUGAACCUCUUCGGUCGAAGUGCCUGUUCCCAUAGGCACCUUUCCUGGUCGGUGCGAUCGUGGAGUCUGCUCUGCUGGAGGCUGUCGCUGGUUACUUCCGCCAAUGCAGCCUCCAGUGAUGAGAUGGAGGAUCCUCCGCAUGAGGCUGUUGUUCUUCUGCUGCGAGUCAACCAUCCAGCGUCGGUAAGACUGAUCAUCAGUCACAUCAGCCAGCUCUCCGAGGUCGUAUGACGGUUCAGCUUCUGGGGUGAUGUCCUCAACAUCUUCCGUGUCUGCGUCAGGUGCUGCAGCACGUGGAUCAGUGCAAAGGAGCUCAGGUGGAGGGAGGAAGCGUAUGUUGUCGAACACGCUGAACCUGGUGAUCUCGGAGUGAGGCAGUUUGGUGAACAGCUGGGUACCAGCCUUAUCAAAGAAGCUGUAGGUCUCUUCAUCACGCAUGACGUGGCAUGCCAUAAGGUACUUGAUGUCAAGGUACUGAACCUCUUUGUUGACGCUGUACUUGCUGAGAUUAAUGUCGAUAUGAUUGAAGAGCGGUGUGAGCAAGCUACCGCUUCUGUCCAGAGAUCAAUGCCGAAAUGCUUGAAGAGCGGUGUGAGCAAGCUACCGCUUCUGUCCUUCUUGUUCGAACCGUGCAAAAGAUACUGCCGCCUCUCGCAGAUCACGGUCAUGAAGUUGAAACCGGGGUUCGUUUUGACCUUUUGAAUUGGAAUGCCGGACCCAGAAGCUCGGAUUUCAUCCUCAAUACCAGCGUACAGGGUUUGCAGCUCCCCGUUGGUGACCUUCCAGGUCAGAUCUUUAGCGAACAGGAGGUUUGAUAUGAUCUUUGCAAUGACCCGAAGCGCCGGGUUCCUGAUCUGCGACUGGUAAGCCUUUCCCGGUGUGAAUUUCCCAUUCGCAAUGCAAUCCCAAAAGGCGUUAGAAGGGGAGAACUUUUUCGCCACCGCUACUCCUUUCGGUUCAUUGGCUGUCUCAUAGAUCUCAUUGAGCUUGUCGAAGGAUAAGGAGCAGUACUCUCCAUCGGCCAUGAAAGAGAAUGAGCAGUUGGCGUAGGAGGGUGCAUUGGAAUCCUCGUACGUGAUCGUGGCGGUGGCGAGCAAGAUCUGGGUAGCGCUCAUGUGUUGUAUAGCACAGAGGAGCUAUCCCUAUGGCGUGUAGCGUCUCGAACACGUCCUCGUCGAUUCCAAGAUCAGCCAGAGUCUCCGCGUGGCAGAAACGAGUGGGUAACAUGUCAACCCGGAGGAGGGCGUUGUAACGCGCUGCUGUUCCCUUAUCUCAUCCCUCGCAGUUGAAGUCCAAGAGCAAUGGGCUGUCGAGAUCAAUCGGUUCACCCUCUUGUUCACGGGGCCAUGGGUAGGUUGCGGAGGUUUGUUGUUGUGCUUGCGGGGGUGGCGUACUGCUCGUGCAGGUCGCUCGCGUUCUCUUGGCUGAUUGCUUAGUGCGUGCCAUCUGCAAAGCAAACAAAAUAAAGCUUUAGUUCUGUUAUGUCGCACAGAAGAAAUGGAAGAGAACAAUUUCCAUCUCUCCUUAUGGAAACCGCAAAUUGCCUUGUCAUGACAACCCACAAAUCGAAACUCAACCCAAUAACUCCAUUCAACUAUCCACAAACCGAAUCCAAACAGUCCUAUCAAUCGCAAAUCGCAAAUGUGAAAUGAAUCAUGAGUUCAUCUUCUAAAUCAACCCUAACAGCAAAAGGGAAAAUCGAAAUCAAGUAGUUUAAAAAGAAUCGAUCUAUGAAGCGGUUAGAAUGAUGAACUUUGCAAACCGAGUUUUGCGAUUUGGGUGGGGAUUGUCGAGCCUCUUACCUGUUGAAAAUGGUGAAAUGGACUGCAAAAACAGAAAGAACUCGAAAUUCCAAAUGAGUGAGAAGCAAAAACCACUUAAAAUGGAUGAAGAUCUGAGCUUUGGUGGUUGCUUAAAAAUCGCAAGGGUUGGGGAACAGUGUACGGCGGAGUUAAAGGGGAAAAUGGAAGGGUGGGGCCUUAAAUAGGCAAAGCCCUAACUGCCCUCCCCCUUUUUUUUUUUUUUUUGGUUCGGAACACUUACCUGGAACAGGCAAUGGGUAGUUCUACCCGAAGAACAGUCCUUUGGUUGUUCUGACUGAAGUGUCUGAUUUUUUUUUUCUUGUUUUUGACCUACAAAAUAAAUCUGAAAAGAAAUAAAAAUAGACUAUAGAAAACAAUGUACACACUAACCAGUGGGUUGCCUCCCACCAAGCGCUUGGUUAAGGUCAUUAGCUUAACUUGGAUCAGCCGAUCAUGCUGAUGGGGGAUCGCUUAGGGGAAUUUCUUCGCCCUCUGCGAUAGUGGAGUCAGCAAGGUAAUGCUUUAAGCGCUGCCCGUUCACUACGAACUCGUCUCCUUUUCUGUCCAGUAACACAACAGCUCCGUAGGGUCGAACUUCCUUAACAGUGAAGGGUCCGGACCAUCUAGAAUUCAGCUUGCCUGGGAACAACCUCAGCCUUGAAUUGAAAAGCAAGACCUUAUCGUUGGGUUCGAAACAUCUGGCAAUGAUUCGCUUGUCAUGGUAGGCCUUGGUCAUAGGCGAGGUGCCUUAUCUCUUCCAGCUCAUGGAUUUGGAUCAUGCGCCUCUCAGUUGCUGGUUUGAUGUCGAAAUUCAGUAACUUGCCUGCCCUUGCAGCCUUGUAUUCGAGUUCGACAUGAAGGUGACACGCCUUACCGUAAACCAGGUGAUAGGGGGUGGUCCCUAGCGGCGUUUUGUAGGCCGUUCUGUAGGCCCACAGGGCAUCGUCCAGCUUAAGUGACCAGUCCUUUCGUGAGGUGUUGACAGUUUUCUGGAGAAUGCUCUUGAUCUCCCUGUUGGAAACCUCAACCUGUCCACUCGUCUGUGGAUGAUAAGCGGUCGCCACCUUGUGCCUUACUCCAUUCUUCUUUAAGAGGCCCUGAAAUGCCUUGUUGAUGAAGUGUGUUCCACCAUCGCUGAUGACCACUCGAGGCACUCCAAAUAUCGGAAAGAUGAUGGAGCUGAACAUCUUAGUCGCCGCUUUUGCAUCAUUAGUGGGGCUCGCCAUCGCUUCUACCCACUUAGAUACAUAGUCAACGGCGACGAGGAUGUACUCGUUCUUGAAGGAUGGAGGGAAUGAGCCCAUGAAAUCGACUCCCCAACAGUUGAACACCUCAACCUCUAGAAUGUAAUUCUGAGGCAUCUCAUUCCUCUUGCUGAUGUUUCCAAGUCAGUGGCAUGCAUCGCAUCUGGCUAUGUAGGCGUGAGCAUCCCUGAACAUAAUUGGCCACCAGAAACCCGCUUGAAGGAUUUUGGAAACCGUUUUGAAUGUAACGAAAUGGCCCGCGUAAGAAGAACCAUGGCAAUGAUGUAGGAUUCCUGGGAUAUCUGCCUCUGGAACACACCUUCUGAACAAGCCAUCCGUACAAUGUCUGUACAAGUACGGUUCAUCCCAAACAUAACUCCUCGCCUCCCUUAAAAAUUUCCUCUUGUCGUUUCCAGUGAACUUAAGAGGUUGCUUUUCAGCAGCAAGAUAAUUCGCAAUCUCAGCAAACCACGGGAGGUGAGAGUACUGCUUUUGGAUCGCGGCGACUGGCUGUUCCGCGAUGCGAGAACAGUCGGAUGUGAUUCGCAGAGGUUUUUCUGCGAAACGCAGACCAGUCGCGUUGACGUGUUCCACUGGGUGUAUCAACAACCUCGGUUUUGCAUCUUACUUUCUGAGCAGGUACUUAAGAGCAGCAUGGUCGGUGUGCACAAUCACCUUAGAUCCUACCAGGUAGGAUCUGAGCUUCUCGAAUGCAUAAACAAUAGCAAGAAGUUCCUUCUCAGUCGUAGCAUAUCUGCAUUGAGCUUCAUCCAUGGUUUUGCUUGCGUAAUAGAUUACAUGAAGUUUCUUAUCCUUACGCUGCCCAAGGACUGCUCCAACUGCAAAAUCGUUGGCAUCAGUCAUGAUUUCAAAAGGGAGAUCCCAGUCUGGCGGUUGUACUACAGGCGCGCUGACUAGAGCACCUUUGAUGGUAUGGAACGCAGGUAAGCACUCACUGUCGAAAUCAAACUUGAUCUCCUUGCAGAGCAGUCUAGCGAGUGGUCUCGCUAUCCUUGAGAAGUCCUGGAUGAACCUUCUGUAAAACCCCGCGUGACCCAAGAAACUCCUGAUGGCUUUCACAGUUGUUGGUGGUUGCAAGCUCAUCAUCACCUUGAUCUUUGCCUUAUCCAUCUCAAUGCCUUUCUCGGAGAUCUUGUGCCCCAAAACAAUCCCAUCCCUGACCAUGAAGUGGCACUUCUCCCAAUUGAGCACUAGAUGUUUCUCCUCACACCUUUUUAGUACCCUGCACAAGUUAGACAAACAAACACUAAAGGAGUUUCCAUAGAUGCUGAAAUCGUCCAUGAAAACCUCCAUAAUGUCUUCAAUCAGGUAAGUAAAGAUUGACAUAAUGCAGCGCUGAAAUAUUGCUGGCGCAUUGCACAAGCCGAAUGACAUUCUCUUGUAAGCGUACGCUCCAUAGGGGCAGGUGAACGUCGUCUUUUCCUGAUCGUCUGGAUGGAUAGGGAUCUGAAAGAAACCUGAAUAACCACCUAAAAAGCAGUAAUAUGGGUGGUUAGCCAAUCUCUCAAGCAUUUGAUCAAUAAAAGGGAGUGGGAAGUGAACUUUUCUGGUUGCUGCAUUUAAUUUUCUGAAAUCAAUGCACAUGCGAUGUCCUGUCACUGUCCUAGUAGGGAUCAAUUCAUUCUUUUCGUUUGUGAUAACAGUGAUCCCACCUUUCUUAGGUACUACAUGAACAUGGCUAAUCCAUUUACUAUCAGAUAUGGCAUAGAUCACACCCGCUUCAAGAAGUUUCAUAAUCUCUUUCUUAACAACAUCUUUUAGAUUCGGGUUUAACCUCCUCUGAUGUUCGACAGAAGUCAUUGAUUCAUCUUCUAGGUGUAUUCCAUGCAUGCAUAAAUCAGGUAAAAUGCCAGGUAUGUCAGCUAGUGAAUAUCCUAAUGCCUUACGAUAUUUCCUGAGCUCACACAAAAGCAAUGCAGUUUCCACAUUAUUUAGUUCAGCGUUCACAAUGACAGGAUAUGUGGAAUUCAGACCUAAGAAAGCGUACCUGAGCCCCUUGGGAAGGGGUUUAAGCUCAACCUUGGGAUCUUUAAGCUCGCUCCAGGGAUCAUCUGGUUGGUCCGGUGGAACAGAUGGAGUGUUCUCGUCCCUGUUGCUUGCCUCCUGCAGACUUAGACUCGCUACCAUUCUUCACAUACUCCUUGCGGAAUCAAGCAUCUUGGCAUACCCGUCUGCAUCACUGUUUACGAUACUCUGCUCGGCCUCAGCUCUUACUAGUGCAAGCUCAAGUGGGUCUUCUGUAAGAAUCUCCUCGAUCAUUCCUUCGCGAGGUUGCAGCGGGUUAAUCCCUUCAUCAACCUCAAAGGUCUGCCCAUCUAACAUCGGCUUUUUUUGUAGUUCAUCCAUCUCGAAUUGCAUGACUAUGUCCCCAAGAUUCAGAUCAAUCUUCCCUUGUCGCACAUCAAUGAUGGCUCCAACAGUACACAGGAAUGGUCUUCCCAAGAUGAGAGGAUCUUUAGACUCUUCUUCCAGCUCCAGAACAACGAAGUCUGCUGGAACAGAGGUGUUUCCGACUUUUACUUGGAGAUCCUCUAGUAUACCAACUGGGGAUUUGACUAAUCUAUCCGCGAACACUAAGGACAUCUUAGUUGGUUUGAAAUACGUGUAUCCUAGACGUCGUGCUACAGAGUAAGGCAUGAGGUUCACGCUGGAUCCAAGAUCAACCAAGGAGCAUGCAAAAACUGUCUUUCCAAUCUGGAUAGAGAGGACGAACUUGCCGGGGUCUCCUCGCUUCUUUAUCUGCCUGUUCUGAAGCACUGCGCUGCACUCCUUGGAAACUGUCAUGAAUUCGCUCUCCUCUGCACUGCGCUGCACUCCUUGGAAACUGUCAUGAAUUUGCUCUCCUCUUAUAUUUUACCUGAGAUCAAUCCCUUCAUAAAGCUGCGCAUGGAGGGCAUCAUCUGGAUCGCAUCCAUCAAGGGGAGUCGGACGGUUAGGUCCUCCAGCAUCUUCCUGCACUUCAUCUCCUCUCUGUCCUUACGAGUGGCCUUUGCUGGAACAGGGUAAGGGACUUUAGGAAUGUAUUCGCGAGGAGGAACAACCUCUGGGAUCGGGCGAACAGCUUCAGCUGGUUGUUCUGGCCCUGGCGAACUUGUUCCAACUGCUGGUUCCGUAUUCCUCUCAACUGCCGGGGUAUCGGCUGGUAGUUGUUCCGACUCUUUCUGCUUCCCUUUCUCAGCCGUGGUGAACCUCCUCUUCUCCGGCUCGGAAAGUUGUUUUCCGCUCCUCAGUUGAACUGCAUUGCACUCCUUAGGAUUUUUGUCUGUUUUACCAGGUAGAGUACCUUGCUGCCUCUUGACGCUCUCAGCAGUCUGAGCUAUCUGAAUGUCCAUCUGUCUCAUAUGGCUCGCGACAUUAUCGUACUUGGUGCUCAAAUCUCCGAACAUAUGGUUCAUUCUGGUAUUGAUCUCGGUAGUAACCUGGUUCAGAGCUUUCCCUUGGAGCUGUUGUCCUUAGAGCAGCUGCUGCAACAUGACCUUUNNNNNNNNNNNNNNNNNNNNNNNNNNNNNNNNNNNNNNNNNNNNNNNNNNNNNNNNNNNNNNNNNNNNNNNNNNNNNNNNNNNNNNNNNNNNNNNNNNNNAUAUAUAUAUAUUGUGUUGUUAUCCAAAAAAUAUCUUAAUAAAAAAUUAAAAAAUUAAAAAACAGAAAACACAUAACAAAAUAUUAAUCGAAUAAUUUUCUUAAUUUUAUAUGAUUAAAAAAUAAAAUUGACGAGUAAUUUUUAAGAUUUAUUUAUUAAUAAUGAAUAUAGUGCACAAAGAAAAUUUCAAAAUAUUUAAUACAUAAAAUUUUCCAAUGAUUACAUAAAUAAUAAUUUAUCAUCAUAGUCUUUAAAUUAUUAAUGCAUGUAUGAAGAAGUAAUUAUAAAAUGUUUAUGACGGCGUGUGCGGUCAAAAUACUUAGUUUUAAUUUAUAUAUAAAGGCUUUAAUGUAUCCUGUUUCUUUUCCACAAUAAUGUCUGCAGCUUCUUUGGAUGCGAUUAGAGUAUCUUGGCCGGUUGAAACAGUAUUUUUCUCUAAUAAACUUAGUAUCGAGAAACUAGAAAUCUCUUGGCUGUCUUUAAUAUCCCAAUCCAUUACCGGAGGCGAAUCAAAGAGAGGCUUAGGUGGAACCGGCGGAGCUUCAAGACUUCCCUCUAACAUCUCAACGACUUUUCUCAUUGGUGGACGGUCAGCUGGAUUGGUCUGAAUACACCACAAACCCACCAAUGCCAUUUUCUUCACUAUUGUCUCUUCUUCUUCUAUUAUGUGACCUCCUAUAAGUCUAAUGGUUUCUUUCCUCUCUAGAUCAUCGUACAUCCAGUCUGGAAAGUACAUUGAACUUUGAUUGGACCUACAAGCUUAAGCUCUUUUCUUGUCCCUUGCCCCGAUCAUCUCGAGAACCACCAUUCCAUAACUAAACACAUGUUACUUGUGCGAAGCACCACCAUAGUUCCUGGAAACCACUUCAGGAGCAAUGUACCCAAUAGUCCCUCUUGGGUCCAUCAACGAUAUGACACUCUCUUUAUUUUUGCAAAGCUUAGCAAGGCCGAAAUCCGAAAUCUUGGGGCACAAAUCUCUGUCCAUAAGUAUAUUAUGUGGCUUUAUAUCGAAAUGCACAAUCUCCGGUACACAACUACUGUGCAAGUGCUCUAACCCACGAGCAACACCUAUCGCAAUGUUGUAUAAAGUGUUCCAGUUCAUCUUUGUGGACAUAAUCGCAGAAAUAAACUUGUCAAGGAAUCCAUUCGGCAUGAAGUCAUAAAUGAUAGCUCUUUUGCUCCCUUCAUAGCAGAAUCCAAAGAGAGAAAAGAUAUUAACAUGAGAUGCUCUACUCAUGCUGGCUAAUUCAUUGAUGAAAUCUUCUCCAUUGCCCUUUGACUCAGUCAAGAUCUUGAGUGCAAUAUCUCUCCCCGUAGCAUCAGGUAAUUUUCCAUUAAACACAGUUCCAAAUCCACCUUCUCCUAGAGGAUGAGUAAAUGACUUUGUCAUCUUCGUCACUGUGUCAUAACUAUAUCGUUUCAACAUUACCGCCGCUUCAAUGUCCUCGUCCUUCGAAUGACUCUUUCUCUUUGCACUCAAUAUUACUGCAAUCGCAAAAAUAAUGCUUAUCAAAGCUAAAGCUGCUAAGCCUCCUGCAAGAUAAAAAAAAAGAAGUAAGGCUUAGGUGUUAUGAACAUGAAUAGGUAACAGAGAUUGAGAUAGCAAAGGUGGUACCGAUUAUGAGUUUUAAUCUACGUGCAGGAAUUUCUGCAAAAUGUAUCAAAUGAAAAUUGUGAUCAUUAAAGCAAGCAUACACACUACGAAUAUAUUUUUUCCUUGGAUAAAGAAAACAAAAUGAACUUACGUUCUCCUCCUUCUCCUCCUGCUAGUAGAACGGAGAUUCUGUUGCAUCAUGCGAAAGAAAAAAACAUUAUUACGUAUAUAUAUAUAAUAUAUAUAUAUAUAUAUAUAUUUUUUUGCAACUAAUUACGUAUAUAUAUUUGUAAUCACAUUAUACGUAUAUCAAUUGGAUGUGUGUGUGUGAGUAAUGCAUAUACUCAAUGGGCGACUAAGAAAAUAUCAAAAUAUGCUAAACUAAAAGUUAUUUCAACCUUGAGAAAAUACACCACGUUCGGAUAACAAUUUAUAAACUUUUAAAAUAAUAAAAAAAAAAAUAAUAAAUAUAUAAGAUAAGAAAUUGUUAUAUAUAAAAAAUAAUGGAGUUUCAUAGUGCUUAAAAUGUGUCAUUUCAUUUAUAUUAUAUAAAUUUAGCUACAAUAUAUUUACAAAAACAUUUCACUAAAUAUUCUUGUGUGCGGAUUUGGUUUGAGUUGUUAAACAUCAUUAUUAUUUAUUUAAGUUAUUAUAUUAUUUUUCAAAAUCAUAUAUGUAUAUAUAUGUAUAUUAAUUAUAUCUAAGAUAUUAGUUAUAUUUAAUUUUAACUAGUAUUUUGAAAACUGGAUUGGACCGCCUAGUUGAACCAUGACUCUUUCUUCUAUAAGAUUAGGGUUUGUGUUAAAACAUGUAUUUGAAUUCAUCCAAAAAAAUAAUAAAAAAUCGGAGCUUACCCCAUUCAAUACCAAAAAUCAAAAAAUAAUUCUUUUGAAAAUAUUUUAUGUUGUCUUAAAUAUUUUUUUAGUAAAACUGUAAAAUAUUUUUCACCAAUCAAACAUUAUUUUUCACCGCUUACUUAAUCAAAAUCACACUUAUUCUGCAUAAUGUAUGAAUUGCAGUUAAACCGUACUACAAUUUUAUUUCAUAUUGUUUAUAUUAUCAAUGCCACGAUUACAAGAUCCUUAGAAUCUAAAGUUUGGGAAUUAUUUUCUUUUUUUUAGUUGGGUUUUACCAUUAGAUUUAGGAUCUAAAGUUCGGAUUUAAAGAUUAGUUUUUUUAAGACUUAACCUUUGAAUUUAAGUUAUUUCAUAACACAAAGACUAUUAUAUAUAUAUGAUGAAUUGUAUUUUUAUAAGGUUUUAGGUCCAUACAUUAUUUCCAUGUCGAAAACCAAGUAAACAUUAUUCCAAGACCAAUGUUUCACUAAACUGUACCUGAAUCCAUCUUUUGUGUCUCUUAACGCAUAAUUUUGAGAUGUUUGCGAAAUUCAAGAUUUAAAUUAAUUAAAAUGGAGAAAUAAACGAAGAGAAAGGUAAAUAUUUAAUAUUGCUGCAUAAUAUAUAUGUGGAAAGUUUCAAAAGUUUUGUGAGAAGCAAUAGUAUUCAGAGGCAUUUCAUAGCGCGAAAAAUACCACAACAAAAUGGUGGGGUGUUAGUGAAAAGAUGAAUCGUCGGACUAUGCAAAAUAUUCAAAAUGGUUCCGGUUAGAGUUUUACGUUCAACCCCAAGUUAAUUUGAGUUUGACAUUUAGUUUCAUGACUCUGUCACCCUUUCUAGAUUAGUUUGAGCUUUGCCUCACUUCUUUUUGUCUUCUUUUUCACUUCUGUCUUUUUUUUGAAUAAAGGCUUUCUUUUUCACUUCUGUCUUUCAUAUAUCUUUCAAACGGAUUUAUUUUGGGCCGAUAUUUAUAUACCAACACAUAUAUAAUAUAAUUCAUCCAACGUGAGAAUGGUACAUAAAAUAACUAUUAAAAUUUUACAUGUGUUUUCGUUAGUUUAGAUUAUUAUCUGUAUUACUAUAAUAAUAUAAAGUAGUAUAAUUAAUGAGAAAAUAAAAAUAAAUUGAAAAUAAGUAAAAUAAGAGAAAAGCAGCUAGAAACUAUAUAAAAACUAAUAUAUAAUCUGUAAUAUUCAUAGUGAAUGAAUUUAUUUAUAAGAAUAAUAUCCAAGACUAAAUAUAUUUCUUAUUUUGUGUGACUGUGUGUUAAGAGUCUAUGGGUUAAUGUGACGAUUUAUGUUUAAAGAUUACACUUGAGUUUUUUUUUCAUAGGAUUAUUUAUAAAAUAAAUAUCAAACAUAUGAGACAAAUAUAUUUGUAAAAAAUAAUUUACAUUUGAAAUGAUUAUUUAUAUAUUAGAUUCAGUUUUACAUUAUAAAUUUUAAAAUAAAUUUUGAAUUAUUGUAGGUCAUUAGAAGAACUUUUCUUGAGUUUAUAGACAAUAUGGAUCCACUUUGAUUUUCUUUUAUGGAAUGUAAUUUCUGCAUUACUAAAAUUAAAUUUUAAUCUUGUUUUUUUGUCAACUAUUAGUCUAGAAUUGAGCUGUUGUAGUUAUAAUUAGGUUGAUCAUAAUUUUACAAUCUAAAUAUAUUCAUCCACUUAUUACGCAUAUUCUUAUUAAAUAUAUAUAAUAUGUAUAAUUUAUCAUAAGAUAAAUAUAUGUAAAAUUGAAUUUUUAUAUGUACAUAAAAUUAUAUAUGAUAUUGAUGAUAAAGAGAGUGACAAUGAAGAUUUUUUUUUCCGUAAAUUGAGUUGUGUAUUAGGUGAUUCUUCGUUAGUUAUAUGCAUUGUUGAUGAUUUAUAUAUACACAUAUUUCCAAAUUUUUUUGCUUCGAUUUCUAGUUUCUACAAUAAAUAUAUACUAUACACAGAAAUUUAGAAAAGUGAUUUUAGAUGAGAUUAAAUUUUUAUAAUUACUUUAUUUUUUAAUUAAAAACUACAAUUAUUUAUGAUAGAAAUGACUAAAUUAGUCGCUUAAUUAUAUUUUUUUUCUUCAAACGGCUAUUCUAUUAUUCAAGCUUGAGGUGGUCUGGGAAACCAGACCGGAACAGAACAACCAAUGUAAUACAAUUCCCUAUGGAAGGAUUUCGCUAUCUUAGCUAGUGAAUCAGACGAUACAUUUUCCUGACGAAGUACAAAAACAAUCGAGAACUCCGUGAAUCUUGCUUUCAACUUCAUAAACUCCUCCAGCUCAGUAGAGAAGCUCGGCCAUGCUUCCGGGUCUUUGGUCAUCGCCAUUAAUUCCUUGCAGUCAGUCCCAAAAGAUUGACAUGUCGAUACCUGUAGCAUACACUCCAUCGCCCACAAUAAAGCUUCCAAUUCAGAAUGCAGUGGUGAGAUUCGACAUCGUUGAUUUCUUGCUCCCAAUAGCUGCAACGCUCCACUUUAACUUACCCAUGUCCACCCAUAACCACUAAAGAGUGCAUCAUGUGUCCAUGACCCAUCUAUCAUGCAUCGCUCGGAGGUUGGAGUCCCUACUGUAAUUUGUUCUUCUACGAUUUCGUAUGGUCUUUGAUUUGCGUCAAACCAAGCUUGGCAUUCAGAUUCAGCGUGUCUGACAGUUUCCAAAGGGUCCAUGUCGAUUCCUCUAAAGAGUUUGUCGUUCCUCGCUUUCCAAAUAUACCAUAUGAUCCAAGGAUACGGGUCCCUGUCCAAUUUUGGUUCUACGAUAUCAUUCUUCCUCCAGAAGAGAUAAUCAAUGUGAACUGACUUCCACUUGGGAACAGAGUCGGCGACGUUGGGGUUGACGCAUGAGCCCAAGUCUGAACUGCAGGAGGACACUCAAAAAUGGUGUGAUUUACAGUUUCAUCAUCUACACCACAACGAGGGCAGUAGUUGUCGCAUCGCAUAUGACGAUGAGUCAGAUUACUCGUUACUGCUAGUUGGCCUGAUAUCACCUGCCAAAUGAGGUGUUUCAUUUUUGGAGGAGCUUUUAUCUUCCAAGCAUAGGCCUGGAGCUUUGUAAUACUAGGCUCCUGCGUCUCCAAUGACUGAUCCUUUAGCAAAUUUGUUGCCACCCAGUAACCUGAUUUGACAGUGUACAUCCCAUGCUUCGUAUAGCUCCAGCAAUAUCCAUCCCGCCGAUAGUCUUGGCUUAUGGCCAGUGACUGAAUCAAUGAGAUGUCCUCUUGAUGUACAUAAUUCUCUAGCAUUUCAGUAUUCCAUCUCUUUGGAUUUCCAAUCAUCAAACUGCUCACUGGCAUCAUUGGGUGAAGAAUUGGUGCAAUUGGCCUAGUUGGCCUUGCUGGUAUCGUUGGGAUCUAAAGAUCUUCCCACAUCCUGAUUUCAUUUCCAGAGUGUACCUUUUGUCUAAUCCCCAGUGUUAUCAAUGGCUUCGCAGCCAUUAUACUCCUCCACCCAUACGAGGGAUUGUUAACAUCAUUUAUUCGCAAUGGUGAGCUAUAUCGAAAAUAUCGUCCUCUCAAGACUCUUGCCAGUAAAGAGUCCAGAAAUUGCAUUAAUCGCCACAAAUGCUUACCAAGUAAAGCGAGAUUAAAUUCGUAGAUCAUCCUGAAACCCAUUCCUCCUUCCUCCCUUGAUUUGCAGAGUUUCUCCCACUUCACCCAGUGUAUUCCUCUCUUCGUAGGAUUCGAACUCCACCAGAACUGUGCAAUGGCACUAGCUAAGUUCUCACAGGUCUCCAAAGGGAGAAGAAGCGUUGACAUUACGUACGUAGGUAGAGCCAGCAAUAUCGACUUUAUAAGCACCUCCUUUCCUCCCCUUGUUAGCCAUCUUCCUGUCCAGCCAUUAACACGGUUUUUCAGACGUUCCUUUAGAAAGGCGACGAGCCGUACCUUCGAACCACUAAUAUCUUCAGGGAUGCCAAGAUAGGAACCCAUUCCUCUCUCAUUUUCAAUUCUAGUUGAUAGUUUCAGAGUAUCCUUGACAUGUCCAGGUAUCCUUUUACCAAAGAGUAAGGACGACUUUUCAAAAUUAAUGCAUUGUCCCGAGGAUUUUCCAUAGGUCCCAAGUGCUUUCAUAACUUCAUCGCAUUCACAUGGCUCUGCCUUGCAAAAGAACAGACUAUCAUCAGCAAAGAGAAGGUGGGAUACGGGAGGGCUAGCACGUGAAACGUGCAUCCCCGUAAUCUUUCCUUGAUUCUCUGCAUGAUUUAGAAGGCUAACGAGCGCUUCCGUGCAUAAGAUGAAUAUGAAAGGAGACAAAGGAUCUCCUUGUCGUAAACCCCGUUGAGGGGUUAUAUUUCCUCUUGGUUGACCAUUGAAUAAGACAUGGUAUUUCACUGAUGAUACGCAUCACAUUAUCCAUUCAAUCCAUGUGUCUGAAAAUCUCAUCUUCUUCAAGACCGCACUAAUAAAAUCCCACUCCAACCUAUCAUAUGCCUUACUCAUGUCAGCCUUUAUCGCCAUUCGCUUCUCUCUUCCCCCAGAAUUCGUACGCAGAGCAUGGAACAUUUCCUGAGCUAUCAAGACAUUAUCUGUUAUCUGUCGUCCAGCAACAAAAGCUGACUGGGUUUCAGAUAUUCGGUCUGGUAAUACUUUUUUCAAUCUUUGGCAUAGGACCUUAGAUAUAAUCUUGUAACGGACAUUGCAUAGACUUAUUGGUCGGAAUUGUGACAUCUCAUUUGGCUUCUCUUUCUUAGGUAUAAGACAUAUAUUUGCAUCAUUAAGCCCAUUAGCCAUUGUUCCAUCGAAAAGGAACUCAUUUGCCAUACGAGUUAAGUCCUCCUUCACAAUGUCCCAGAACUUCUGGUAAAAAAGGGCAGUGAAACCAUCCGGACCCGGCGCUUUCUCAGGAUGCAUUGCAAAGAGGGCCGACUUAACUUCCCAUUCUUCCCAUUCUGAAACAGGAGCUCUAAGAUCCGCGUUUAUCCGGUCAGUUAUGGUUGUAGAAACAUUUGCUAGCGCCUCAUCAAUGAGUUGAGGGUUGGAUGUUUGGAACAAUUCCCUAAAGUAACUUGUAGCAAUGGCUACUAAUUUUUCCUCCUCCUCUACAAGGUUUCCUGCCGAAUCUAAGAGGCUUGUAAUCUUAUUCAUGGCUCGACGUUGCUUUGUAAUGGCAUGAAAAAAUUUCGUGUUCAAAUCACCUUCCAAUAGCCAGAGUAUCCUACUCUUCUGCCUCCAGAACUGCUCUUCUGCCUUAAGGGCAUCAGUUAGUUCCUUCAGAGCAGCUGCUAUUUCUUCGGUCGUGCCAUCAUCAUCAGAGUAAAGAUUAUCGACCUUAGCUUUAAGAUCUUCGACCAUUUUUGCAGAAUUUAAAUCCCUUUCUCUUUUCCACUGAGAUAAUGCUUUCCUGCAACUGGAUAUGUGAUCCAUUAUACUUGCAUCCGGGGAGAGAUCAGAAGAGUUCCAGCCUUCUAAAAUUACUUGUCUUAUUUCUUCACUCUCCAACCAACGCUUAUCAAACUUGAAGGUUUUCCUCUUCCUGGUUGGCUUAGAUAGAAUAUCUGCAAGAACCGGACGAUGAUCCGAUCCCCACAUUCUUAAGUAUUGAACUUUGGAAUGUGGAAAUUUUUCGUGCCAAUCUUUGUUACCAAGAGCACGAUCGAGACGGCACCGGACAGUGCCAUUAGUACGCUUUCCAGCCCAUGAUAGUUGGUUCCCAGUACAUGGAAAUUCCAACAUUCCACAAUCUGAUAUCAUUUGAUUAAAAAAAGAAAUGAAGUAUCGGACCGUUUCCUUCCCCCUUCUUUUUCAUGAUGUCCUGUUAUUUCAUUAAAAUCCCCUAUCAUGAACCAGGGUCCAUCUCUUAUUGUUGAGAAACGCGUAAGACGUUCCCACACUUGGUCUCUUCUUUCUAACACAGGAUCCCCAUAAACAAAUGUCAUAUAGACUUUUAUUCCAUUAAUGACUGCUUUUACAUCAAUCAUACGAUUAUUAGAAAAUAAAACAUCAACUUGAAAUUCAUCCAUAAAAAAUAAAGCUAAACCAGCACUUUGGCCAAGAGGCUCAACGGUGAACAAUUUAUUAAAUCCUAGGUCAGCCUGAAUGUUUUGCAACAGCAGCUUCCUAUUCUUCGUCUCAGACAGAAACAAGAGUCAUGGGCAAUGCUUCUGACACAUCUCCUUGAGGCGUCGAACUGUGAGGUCGUUUCCUAUCCCUCGACAGUUCCAACUGAGCGUCUUCAUUGAUGACGGUGGGGCGGAUAUUUGGCAUCCACCAUACCUUUCUGUUGAGUACUCCCACCCGGUGUUGUUUUUUUUUGAGCUUGUCUGCUUUAUUCCCCUUCUAGCGCGAGGCACAUUGACUUGUUGUACUUGUUUGGAAUUGAUUCGAGGGGAAGCCCGUCGUGGUUCCGGAAACAAUGAUCUAGUCAUGUUCCUUGUAAGUGCUUUCUCAUCCACCCCCUUUGCAGUUCCACUCUCACCAGAAUCACUUGCCUCAAGCAUAGGAAUUGGGCUUUUUUGUAUGUUCUGAUCAUGAUCAGUCGCCUCCAAAGAUUCAACAAUCGCAAGAUCUUCUCCUAACAUGUCAUCAUCCUCUAUUAGCGCCAGCUCAUUUCCCAUGAUAGUGUCCUCCAUGUCUGCAUCCGCUAUCUCAUCCUCAGUCUCGAUGUCGUGCUCAUUGAGAGCAUCGAUCUUCAGAGCAUUGUAUGGAGGAAUGAGAUCCUCUGCAACUUCUAUAUGAGAAAGUUGGGUUGAGUGUGGUCUGUAGGUGACAUUAUUGUCCAGGGGAGGCUGCUCCGUAGAAGUACUUGACUUGGGCGCUACAGCUGCGGUAACUGGUUGAUCACUAAGGCGCCUCGGUCCUUCUUCCGUGACGAGUGAGCGAAGUUUGUUGGUAUUGCCAGCUGAGGCAGAGGCCGUGUCUCUAGGUUGCUGAUCAUUAUAUCUUCAGUGGCCUGAGCUGUUUCUCCUUCCACAACUGCUCCUUACCCGCAUCUUGUUGCUUUCCUGAUGACGCAUGGCUUCUUACAUAGGAGUACGGAUUGUAUCGAGAGUCCCGCGGUUUGGUAACACGACUAGAGCGGCUUGAGUGAGUAGAGCGGUGAACGUGAGAGUAAGAACUCGCUCCAUCUUUGUGAGGCCGAACUAUCUCAUCUUUCACUCGAGUCCUCCCUGAGGUAUCUCUACCGGUAUUAGGCCUUACGCGAUCAAAGACUGUCUCACGGCCAGUCAGUUGCGAUUUGCGUACUGUUCUGAUUCAUUCAUCUUCAUAAUAUCCAUAAAUAUUUACUUAAAAUAUUGUGGACCUAGAUAUUUUCACAACUAUUUUUCAUGUACUCUACACACGAGAAACACCUCCCACAAUGUUUACUUAAAAUAUUCAUCAAACAUUUGAAUAAUGAUGAAUAAUUUUUAUACAAAAAUAUAUAUAUACCUUCAAAUUUCAAUUUUUCACUUAGCUUGUCUCUCGUAUUAUGAAAGCACUGACAUUGGAGUAUUUAACGCGAAUCUUUGAUGCUAGAGCAAGGUAUUGCGAGAGUGGAAAAAUUGUUGGAGAAACAAAUUAAUGCUUGCACACCGCACAAUUUCCACUUGCGACUGUAUUUGGUGCCUUGGUGGGGACGGUUCUUUGUUUUUAUGUUUCUUUUCUUGGUUUUUAGUGAGGGCGGAUUCACUAGGGUUUAUUUUUCAAUUUCCACAACUGAUAGUGAUAGAAGAAAACAAAUGAAACAUGAAACAUGAAACAAUUUGAUAUGUGACAAAAGUCACCCGUCCCCAGCAAAAAUAGAAAUACGAAGAAAUGAGAAAAUAGUAUUUACGGGAACUGAACUGACCUCGUGGUAUUGGGAAUAGAAGAGGGGCAAAACGUGAUGACGUAGUUAGUCGUGUUCGGGCAUGUGAAGGUGCUGUUACUAUCGCUGUAAGGGUAACUAUAGGCGAGUGGACAAGCUCGCUCGAAGUUCUGAGAGUACAGGGUCGCCUUGCAAGUUUGCCUUGAACCGAAGUAAUUGGUGCAACAGUUUUCAUGUGUACUCGAUUCUUUGCAGGCGCUACUACAAGCGAUUGGUAUUAUCCCGUCGUAUAUCAUGAGCUUAUUUGGACACGUCUUGUUCAAGCCAACCAUACAACCUGAGCUGAAACAUGUCGGGUUACUAUGUGAUGGGACAACCAUCACGGGAAGGUUGUAACCGUACUCAAGACUGAUGAAGUAGCUGUUGGUUCCGCUGUAAUCAAUUCUAAAGUAGAUAUAAGUCACCGUAGACCAACCAUAUGAACCGGGACAUUCGAUUUUGUUGGAUUCGCAGUCUCCGGUUGCGAACGAGAAGUUUCCUCUUGACUCGUUUGAGCAGAGGGUCCUACCGGAGAUGAUACCGUACCAUGAAGAUGGUGCCUGUAGGGCACGGGACUCCCCUCUUCUGAGAGUGAAUCCAGUGUUGGAGAUCUGUGAUUCCCAUGAGAAGACAACAGACCAAACUGUCUGAUCGCAUUUGUUCUCUAUGAUAAGGAUACCCCCGACAACACUCCUUUAAACAAGUUUAGAUUAGUGAAGUAACAACUAUUUACUAAUACUGAAAUGAAAACAAUCAGAAAAAUUCAUACCAGAUACGAACAAGUGUAAAGCAAGGAGCAAAAUCGCGUGCAACCUCCCCGCCAUUUGCUUUCGAGAAAAAUAAAAGUUCCAACUAGGGUUUGAAUAGAAUACGAAUAUGAAUACGAAGAAAUGAACAUAUAAGGUUACAAAUUAAUAACGACCCUUCAUCAAUCGGUUAAGUAUUUUCCGUGAACUUGCAAUGAGAAAUAUUUGGAUGGUAUUUGUUUACACACAAUGUUUAAAAGUCCAAUCACAUAGAGUUUGGAAAACCAUAUGCGAUAUAACUUCUAUAAACAAACUAAUAUAUGUAUUCUUAAAAUAAAUAUAUUUUUAUAGAUAAUUUCAUAUUAUUUACAUUACUGUUUGAACGGGAUUCAGUCGACUAAAAUGAAAGAAGUCAGAAAUGGGAUGACUAAAGACGUUUUAUUAGAUUUGAACUGAAGGGUUACAAGAGUGACAGGAAAGAGCAAUAGGAAAGAGCAACAAGAUCAAAGAGCAACAAGAUCAAAGAGAUCGCCUAAAAUCCUAGAUCUAUCCGCUUGGUGUGUUCAAUCGUCAAAAGUCCUCUUCUUGUUGCUUCUCCUACCCCUUUUAUAGGUCUCUUGCCCUUGAUGCCCUAAUUACGUAUCUCUUUGGACCUUGAUGCGAGAGGCCGAGUAUGCGGGCCUGGACAAGGUUCCCUCCAAGCCGGAUACUUUUGGUCGACUUACUCGACCGGCUAAAAGUACUCUAAGGUCGAGCCGAUACGUUUGGCCGCCAAGCCGACCAAACUGAUCCAGCUUGCUGGAUUAGGGCCUGUUAUUCGAUGGGCCUUGUGGAGUGAUGUAAUCCAUCUCCUACAAUAAGUCUCCCCCAAUUCACUUGUGAGCGACAUGGCGGUCUCAGUGAAUUUGUGGGUCAUGUUUAUUCGGAUAGCAGGCUCUAAUACAAGGGAUAACCCUUCCCGUUUAGUCGUCGGCAUGUGCUUUUAGUCGCGUGGUGUUCUGUAGGUGUCUCUGGUCGCUCAGAGUAGCGCUUGUCUUGACUCGCUUACUUGCCUACCUGCUUUUAUGAUGGGAUACAGUUUUACUCGGGUGAUAGAUCAUCUUGGAUAGAGCGACGGGGAUCGGUUUUGCUGGUUAACCGGGGACCGGUUCAAAUCAAGACCAGGAAUCGAUUCCGGUCUGACAACCUGAUUGAAAAUCGGUUCGAGCGAGAAACCGAACCGUCGCGAGUAGGUUUCUGGGCAUUUAGGCGGCCUUUGGAGGCCCAUUUAGGCCUUUGUAGACCUAAUGAUUGUGCUCGGGAAACGUGCCUUCGUUUUUGCUAUAAAUAGGUCUCUCUCCUUUGCUUUCGUCAUUCUUCUCUGCAGAUUCAGGUAUCCCGUUUUCUCUCCCUUCUCUCUACUUUUACUUUCUCUCUCUAGAUAGGUUUUUCUUCGUAUAGACUCGUUGGUAUCGUUCGGCGGUUGUAGUCAUCCCCUGAAUUAAGGAACAUGCCUCCGAGAAGUCGAUUGUCACGAGAAGAGAAAGGGAAGGACAUCGCAGAUUCUCCGAGUCCGACCAGAGAUGUGUCAGCGACCGUAGUCCACUGGACGAUUUCGACUUGAUUCAUCGCGAUGCUCUUCGGGACACGGAAAACAUGACUCUAUCUCAGCGUCUUUUGGUCGCUGAUGCUCAUAGGAUGAAUCGUGAUGAAGACGCAGAUCGUGUUGAAGUCGGGAACAGUGAUGUGAGUGGAAGUGAGGAUAGAGGGAGAGACCAAGGCGAUACUGCGACUGGUUCCGAACGUGGCGACACUGAUGAGUUUGGUCGGUCUCCGACGCCUUUGAGAUAGGUUCGCAAGAGAGUUUGUUUCAACCAUAUAGACUGUCGCCCAACUAUUUACCAUCCUGGUGGGAUCUUCGAAGAGCUGGCUCCAUUGCCACCCAGACUGCUACAGGACCCGUGGGCUCAGUCGUGGGGGAACGUGUUUGGAUCUUCUGCUUCUCAUCAUACCGUGAGGGAUCUGUUAAGGGCGAGUGGCGGUGCUGGCGUUACUUACAUCAUCCCGUCUGCCGAGCAGCGUCCCUGGUCGCCUCCGGUUGGUUACCAAUGCGUGUAUGAGUCCUAUUUCGGGGAUCAUACGAAGCUAUGGUUCCCGAUUCCUCGGUUAGUGAUGUCUUAUGCAUUCCACCGAGACAUUGCCAUCUCUCAACUUUUGAACGGGUCGCUACGAAUAGCCGUCAUGCUAAUGGUAAUGGCAGCUGAGAUGGACAUCUCGAUGAGCAUGAGGGUCUACGAGGAGUUGACUUUCACGAAGGCGGAGCCAAACGGGAUCUUCUCGGUGAAAAUGCGUUCGAACUACAACGUCUUGACCGGUCAUCCAAAUAAGACGCAGGAUUAGCAACGCGCGUAUUUCUUUGUGAAAUCUGAUGAACAUGCUUUCGAAGAGCCGCCGGGGGACGACUACCGCGUUCUGUGGAAUCGGCAACUCGGUAGAGACUCGUCUGUUGGAGUCUCGUUUUAGUCGUUAGUCCUAACUUUUCUUAUCCUUGUAUUUGCAGUUCAUCAUCCGAAUACGAUCGCCUACCCCGAGAAAUUUUUCGAAAGUGCUCAAGCGAUCGCGGCGCAUAGUUAUCUUCGUUAGCCGGAUCUCAGUCGGGAGUGGAUACGUCGUCAGCAAGCUAGGAUCGCUAGAGGUAAGCCUGCUGAUUGCUUUUAGGGCCUACUCGAGUUUCCUUUUGCGAUUUUUCAUGUUGAUUCUUUGCUUUUGCAGUUGAUUGGGAGUCGAGGCUUCCUUGCGUUCUCGGUCCCCGUAAGUCGCACCUCCCUUUGUUUACUCGCAAACAACAGAGACUUCUCGACAAAGCCAGAGAAAUGGAUGGAGUUCCGGAUCUAAGCGCCCUGUUAAAAGGGAAGUUGCAACUGCUCACGAAGAAAUCGACUACAGUCGAUCCUCAGGGACCGUCUAAUUCUGGAGUCGACGUCCCUUCUGAAGGUGGCGGAACCUCCCGAGAGAAGGGCCCUAUAUAUUGCAAUCGAUCAGGGGGGCAGGGCAGAGACUUCUGAUUCAGGUCCCAAGAAGAAGAAAAGGACCAAAAGGACUAAGGUGGGAGCGACCGACGAGGUUCCUCCCGAAGAGUCUGCUUCCCUCGAUGCGACUUCCGAGGGCUCGAAGGCCAAAAAGAAGAAGGAUGGGAGGAAAAGGUCUCGUGGUGGGGCAGAAGGGCAGGAGACUGUUUUAGUCGGGGCGGCAUUAGAUGGUCAUCCGAGGAAGAGAACUAAGAGGUCUGUCGAGGCAGAGCCCCGUCCUUCUACCUCCGACGUGAACGCUGCUGACGCGGCCUUAGUCGACGCUGUUGGGGAGGCCAGCGGCACUCCUGGAAACCUGUCAGAGGAAAGGAGGAAAACCUGCUCGCGAGAAGGAGGUUCUGGUGGUGAGCCCGCGAGGUCUACUCCAAACUCUUCUGCAAGAAAAAGAUCUGGAUCUGAAGGUUCCGUAGCGAAGAGAAAGAGGAUCGAAUUCCCUGAUCGCGUCGAGUUUUCCUACAAUGAGACAACUCCCCUGAUCCUUAAUCCCUUUAGGUGCGCGGAGCUGAAGCGUUAAAUUCGUGGUGGGACAAAGGAGAUGCCGCAAUUGGAAGACCUUUACUUCAAGAAUGAAUACAUCGACGCUGCUUCCUCGAGAGCGCGGGUAUCUGCGCUACCUUUCACCUUUUAUCUCCUUCUUUGAUUUAUUGGGUUCAUCCAUCUCAUGUGCUCCGUGUUUGUCGUUCUGCAGAGUGACGGGAGCAUGAACUUCCUUGUUGAGAAAUACGACAGCGCCCUGAAGCAAACGAUGAUCCAGUUGGGAUCUUCGGAGAAGCUCGCUCAAGCAAGGUUGAAGGCCAUUGAGAGGGUAAGGGCUGAGCAUAAGAAGGCUAACGAGAAGGCUGCGAAGGAGAAUUUCUUCGAGUGAAGUUCGAAGAGCUGGAGGGUAAGCUCAAAUCCGCUGGCGCGGCCAAGAAAGAGCUUGCCCGAGAGAACACCCGUUUGGAGCAAGCGGCUGCGACCCUUGAGAAGGAGAAGACUGAGCUACUCGAGGAAAGGGACGCUGCAGUUGAGAAAUUGAUUGGAGAGAGGCAACGCUUGAGAGACUCCCGGGGGCUUGAGGUUACUCGUGAGAGGGAAAGGGUCGAAGCUGCUAUGGUCGAGAAGGCAAACCGCUGCUUUGGUCGCGUGCGCGACCAUUUUACUCGCUUGGACGCCUUUGGGAAAACGAAGAACCUGUACGGUCAAGCUUCGGGGACGAAGAAGUGCCUCGAGAUGAUAAAGGCAAGUGGGACGGAGAUCCCGCAAGAAAUGAUCGAUGUUUUUUGCCGAGCAGGAGAAACUUUACGAGGCGGAGGCUACGAAGUUUUGUGUAGGUCCGCUGUCUGAUAGCGACCUCACUCUUUCUCUGCUGGUUCUCCCUUCUCGUUUCGUCGAGGCCAUGUUUAGAGCGUAGUUUGAUCCUUAUGGAUCGAACGUAAAUUUAAUCAGACCAGGGACGGUUUCUCAGCUCAUCACCUCGCUCGAAAUUACUGAGGAGCCAUCGGAGGAGCCAUCGGUCGAUGUCACGUCGGUCCCGGCUGACCACGUCGAGGUCCCGGAGGGAGGUGGUCUUGGUGAACGUCCAAAGAAGAAGAACCUGGAGGAGGUCCCCGGGAAGGACAACCUUGAGAUAGGCAACACUCCAGUUCAAAAAGAAGAGACCGAGAACGUGGGCAUCGAGGAUCCUGUCCUCGUCUCGGAUUCUUCUUCUGAAGGACGAGAAGACGAAGAGGAGGAAGACGAUAGAGUUGAGGAGACGUCGCCGUCGUAGCCCGUCGAGGAAGAGACGACCAACGAAGUCGGGAAUAGAGAUGUUCCCCCACCUCCUGCUGUGUCCUCUCUUGUCCCUGUUCCUACUCGGGUGGAAGACCCGACUGCUGCCACUACCGAAGGCCCAGUCGGUCCUUCUGCUCUUGGGACGCCAUAGGAGGUCGGUCAAGAUUCUGCACCUUGACGCUUUGCCUGUGUCUCCUUUGUUCUUUUUGUGUUUCUUUUUGUGUUUGUGGUCUCGAUAGACCCUGUUGUUGUAUUACUAGACGUACUUUCAUUUUAUCGGUAAGUCGCUGUUUUCAAGCAGACUUUUAGAUUUGCGGGUUGUUGUGUUCCCAAUCUGUACUUGCAACUUGUCUAAGUAAAUUUCAGUUAUCUUUAGAGUCUCUCGAUAUGUUCGCCUAGAGACAAUAGAUUCUUGACCUUUGGCUUUUGCAAAUAGAUAACGACACAACCCGCUAAGGGACUUUGUUCAGUUCUUGUCGUGUUUCGAUUGAGAUAACGUCUAGACGCAUUUUUCUACUUUGAAAACAAGAAACUGAAUCUAAGAGUAGAAGGUUCCUUUUACACGUUUUCUCAAAGACUGUUGAGUAAAUGGGUAGCUAAUCCGUUACGCGUUUAGUCGAGAAAAGGUUAAAGAUUCACUCCGUUUGGUCGGUCAGUGCUCUUUAGGCACAGGUGACUCGCGACCAUUGGGUCCUUAGGCUAAGUGUCUGAUCAGGACAUAGCUAGGAUAUGGAACGUGAGUGUCCGCGUACCUCCUGCUGGAGGUACGGGAGCCGUUGGGUUUGACAAUCGGUAUUUACUCGCUCGGAGUCGAAACAAAGAACAAGAUUUUGACUUUUGUUUUGUUACAGCUGGACCGGUUAGGGCUGCCUACGUACCUCGGUUGAGGAUCAAGCCAUUCGUAGUUCGUUUUUCCCGAGUGAAAGUGGCCUUUGGAAGCGCAUUUACUCGGUCGAGUAGAAGUGACCGCGGAGGUGCAUCUACUCGGUUUUUUUUUUUUUUUAAGAGUAGAAGCGUCUUAGAUGCAUUGAGUUCCAUGCUCUAGGCACUUCUUCUCCGCUUGACGUUUGAAGUCGGUAGACUCUUGGUUUCACAACUUUGAUGAUUUUGUAAGGUCCUUCCCACCUAGCGCCGUGUUUGCCGGCGUUCAGCUCCUUAGUGUUCUCGAACACUUUACGCAUGACAAAGUCACCGAGUUCAAGGGGUCUGGCUCGGACCUUUUUGUUGUAGUAACUCUCUAUCUGAUGUUGAUAGUUUUGGCUUCGCAGCAGAGCUUGGUCCCGUCAUUCUUCAAUUUCGUCGAGGGCAACAAGCAGCAUCUCCUUGUUGAGUUCGACGUACUGGGCAUUUUCGAACGUCGGAGGCUUGAAACGUUAACAUCUACGGGAGCCAUAGCCUCGACACCGUAUGCAAGGGAGAAAGGUGUCGAUUUGGUUGACCCUCGUGGUGUUGUGCGGUGGCUCCAUUGAACUCCGUCGAGUUCGUCGGCUCAAUGACCCUUUUUCAAGUCUAAACGUUUUUUAUUGCCGUCGAUGAUGAGCUUGUUGGAGGAUUCUGGUUGGCCGUUUCCGUGUGGGUAACGAGGGGUAGAUGGCCUCAAACGAAUGUUCCAUUUGCUGCAAAACUCCUUGAAGUUGCCCGACAUGAACGGUGAUCCAUUAUCAGUAACGAUUUCGUAUGGUAGACCGUGGCGGCAGAUAAUGUUUUUUUAGACGAACCCACGGACUUCUUUGUCGGUGACUUGAGCGUAGGCUUCAGCUUCGAUCCAUUUGGUGAAGUAAUCAGUGAGGACGAGAAUGAAACGCCGCUGGCGGGAGCAUGGAAGAGGUCCUAUGAUAUCCAUUUCCCAUCGCAUGAACGGGUACGGCGCGACCGUCGUUCGUAACAUUUCAGUUGGACAAUGGAUGCUUGGUGCGUGGCGUUGGCAUUUGUCGCAGCUUCUGGCGUAGGACUCGCAAUCUGCGUUCAUCGUCGGCCAGAAGAAGCCUAGGCUUCUUACUUUGAUUGCUAAUGCUCGUCCGCCCGAAUGGUUUCCUCUGGCGCCUUCGUGUGUUUCGGCCAUAACCCUGACCGUUUCUUCACCAUGGAUACAUUUGAGGAGUACUUUACUCGCAGUCCAUCGAUGGAGUUCGUUGUCUAGGACGACAUAAUGGGCACUGCGUGUUUUUAGUCGGCGGGUUGCCCAUUUCUCGGUUGGAAGUUCCCCCUUUGAUAGAUAGUCGAUGAACUCAGUUCGCCAGUCAGGGCCGAAUUCAUCAGUAACGAGCGUGUCGGUUUCGGUGAUUGGGGGCAAUGACGAUGGUUUGGUCCGUCGAGAUAUCGAUGCUCGGCUUCUCAAUGCGGUGUAUUGGAAUAGUUCGUUUAACUUGGUUACGAAGCUUGCUUCCAAGGGCUGCAAGGGCGUCGGCGCAGAUGUUUUCUCCUCUGAGAACUUUAACGAGUUCGAAGAAUUCGAACACUGCGGCUAAGCCCUGUACUAUCUUGAGGUAGGCGUCCAUCCGAUCGUUACGGGCGUCGUAAUCGCCGCUAAACUGACUGGCGACUAACUGCGAGUCGCAGUAGGCGCUUAGGCAUUUGCCUUGACAGCUUUUGCUAAGCGGAGUCCAGCGAUCAAAGAUUCGUAUUCUGCUUCGUUGUUCGAGGCUGGAAAGCCGAAGCUAAAAGACUGUCUGAUCAGUUCGCCGGUCGGGAAUUGUAGUUGAACUCCAGCACCUGCGCCCCUGUUAGUUGAAGAUCCAUCGACAUGCAGUGUCCAGUUUGGGCUUGGGAGUGUGAGAUCUUGCUCCAACUCUGGGGCCAAUUCGAUUAAGAAGUCUGCGAGAACCUGAGAUUUCGCUGCGGUUCUGUUCUUGUAAGUGAUAUCAAGCUCACUGAGUUCGAUAGCCCACUUCGUUAGUCUUCUGUACCUGUUUGUAUUUUGAAGUAUUGUUUGGAGGGGCUAGUCGGUUAUUACUUCCACCGAAUGUGACUGAAUGUAAGGGCGAAGCUUCCUCACCGCUUCGACGACCGCCAGUGCCAUCUUCUCCAGAGUUGGGUAUCGCGUUUCUGGUCCAGUCAUGAGCCUGCUUGUGUAGAAGAUUGGCUUUUGCUCACCGCGAUCCUAUUUUAUUAGAACGCUACUGACUGCUACUUGUGAUACUGCGACGUAAAGAGAUAGAACGUCGCCGAGAACAGGUGGUGUUGUCAGAUAAUGCUUGAGUUGGGUAAAUGCCUCCACGCAUUUCUCAUCCCAGAUAAACCUUUUGUUACCUCGCAGGAGGUCGUAGAAUGGCAAGCAUUUGUCGGUGGAUCUGGAGAUGAACCGGUUGAGUGCAGCUAUCCUACCCGUAAGCCGUUGCACUUCUCUACUGUUUUUUGGGCUCGGGAGGUUCAGGACCGCUGAGAUCUGCUUCGGGUUGGCUUCGAUUCCCCGCUGCGUGACUAUGUAUCCAAGGAACUCGCCUGAGGAAACCCCGAACGUGCACUUUGCUGGGUUCAGUUUCAUGCCGUAUUUGUUGAGAGUUUCGAAGUGUAGGUUGCUCCUGCGUUCUUCAAACCGAAUGGCAUGACCUUAUAGCAGUAGGUUCCUCUAUCCGUGAUAAAUAUCGUUUUUUCGCGAUCGUCGGGGUGCAUCAUGAUUUGGUUGUACCCAGAGAAAGCGUCCAUGAAGGUGAGCAUCUCGUUUCCAGCCGUGGACUCGACUAAACGGUCGAUGUUGGGAAGAGGAUAGUUGUCCUUUGGGCAGGCUUUAUUUAAGUCAGUGAAAUCGACGCAGACGCGCCACUUCCCGUUCUUCUUUUUGAAGACUACCGGAUUUUCUAACCACUCAGGGUAGCGCACCUCAGCAAUUGAGCCAGCGCCGAGCAACCGAUCGACCUCUUCGUUUACAGCCUUUGACCUAUCGGGACCGAGCUUGCGUCGCUUCUGUCGGAUAGGCUUGAAUGUCGGAUCGACGUUUAGUUCGUGAGUUGUUAUGGCCGGAUCAAUUCCUUUCAUGUCUGACUUGGACCACGCGAAUGUGGACACAUUCGCCUUGAGAAAGUUGAGAACUGACCGCUGCAUAUCUUCAGACAGAUAUGCACCAAUCCUUGCGGUCCGUCUUGGAUCGGUAUCGUCAAUAGGUAACUCGAGAAUUUCGCCUUCCUGGGAGCAGGCUUUAUAGGUUGGAGGAGUAACGGAGUUAACCGAUAAAGACGAUCGUUGGAGUUUAACUGUGGCGACUAGGAGUUCCCUACCGGCUGUCUGAUCUCCUCGCAGUGUUUUGAUUUUUCUGUCCGUACCGGGGAACUUGACGCACUGGUGAUAAGUAGAUGGAAUGGCCUGCAUUGAUUGUAUCCAAGGGGUUCCAAGUAUAGCGUGACUUUCGUGCAUUCAACGUUGUCCGGAGAUCAUUGCGCGUGGAGCUGUUGCUAUUUUCGGAUUCGAACUUUCGUUUCAGAACAUCUCUCAAAUCUUCGAGUACAGGUGUGUCAUCGUUCUCAUCGUCCGACGACAAGGUUUGCUGAGAACGUAUGACCUCAAUGCGUCUGCGGUUAGCUGGUUGCUCUUCAUCGGCCGAGGAGUCUGCCUCGCCGUUACUCUUCGGAGCAUCCUCCUCGUCAUCUCGUUGUUGGGUUUCGCUAUGUCGACCUUUGCCUGUAGAUUUGCGCUGGGCUCUCCUUUCGUUAUUCUUGCUCCAGCUCUUGCCGUUCUUCGGCUUAGCCUUUAGGGGUUCGAACUUGAAGUCGCCACUUGCUAAGGAUGAGAGGUAGUGCGCAUAGAGUGACUUGCACUCUGUCGUAUCGUGCCCUUUGACGUCGUGAUACUUGCAAUGUUUGGUGAGAUCGACGGUUCUGGAAGGUCCUACCGCUGAACCUGCUGCUGUUGUAGUCUGGGUCGAGCAAACGGCGUCGACUGGUUUGUCGGACGAAUCAGGCUUCCUUACCUACUUGUUCCAUCCUUCUCCGCAGACUACGAGAGUUGAAACUGGCACGUUGUUCUCAUUGACGACAUACAUGUAUCCGUCUUUGCGGCCGUUUUUGUCGAUUGGAGCAUGCUGGAGCAGUUCUUGUCGCGUGUUGGCGUUUUUAGCCGCUGGAGUUUUGGGUGUGUUUAUCUUGCUGAGAAUGGCGUUAGUAUCUUCUUCCAUUCGGAUGAAAUUGUCAGAUCGCGCGACGUAGUUGAGUUUUGGUAUAAAUCCUCUCGGAAUUUAGAACGAACCCACAAUGUGUUCCGCAGGGCGUCGAUGGCAAUACCGUCUGGAAUUUCAAUCCUCGAGACUACGACUUUGAACUUCUCCAUGUAGUCGCGGAGGCUCUGGUCUUUGGUUUGGUUGAGGUUCCACAAGCUAGAGGCGGUAGCGCUGCGCUUGGUGAACAUAAUGUAAGUCUUGAGAAAAGCUGCUGACAAGUCGCGGAAGCUUCCGAUGGAGUUUUCCUCUAACUGGGAAAACCAGGUUAGGGCUUGCUCGCGGAGAGUUUCGACGAACAGUUGGCAGUAGCCUGCGUCCCUUUCCUCAUCGGGGAGUCGAGCCCGUGCCAUCGCGAUGUUGAAAGCUGUCAUGUGUUCCACCGGGUCUCCGCCGGGUUUGUACUCGGGUAGGAGCAACUUCUCUAUCUUACCGAGUUGCACACUAGUCAGAGCGCUAGUAAAAUGGGUGCAUGAUGUUGCGGCGAGGACGCUCUCGAUUUGCGGGGCCGCGCUGGUUACUUGAUGGAUCUUCUCGCUCAUUUGUUGGAAGCUGAGUUUGAGCUCGGCGAGCUCGCGUAUGGUUGUGAGAUCAGAUCCUACUGGGGGUGGUCGGCGAGAAGGGUUUCAUUAGGCUCCGAGUCGUCUGAGAUAUGGUCGCCUCCGGUCGCCGUUGGGUUGGUGUUAAAGAGGCGACGGCGUAUCUGCUGGGGACGGCUUGUUUGGCCAUCGGGAGCUGUGAGUGCCGCGACCAAAGCAGCUAAUUGGUCGUUGGUCGUCUUUUGGACUUCGUCUUGACGAGCAAGUCGAGCCAUGAUAGAGCUCAUAAAAUCUGCGGCGAUGGGUGGCGCGGCUUCGGGCGUAGGGGUCGGUUCUCCUCCCGGAGCGCCGAAGGUGGCGUCGUCUUGAACCAUGUAUAUCUAGAACGUUACUUUAGUCAGCCCCACGGUGGGCGCCAAUUGUUUGAAUGAGAUUCAGUCGACUAAAAUGAAAGAAGUCAGAAAUAGGAUGACUAAAGACGUUUUAUUAGAUUUGAACCGAAGGGUUACAAGAGUGACAGGAAAGAGCAACAAGAUCAAAGAGCAACAAGAUCAAAGAGAUCGUCUAAAACCCUAGAUCUAGCCUCUUUGUGUGUUCAAUAGUCAAAAGUCCUCUUCUUGUUGCUUCUCCUACCCCUUUUAUAGGUCUCCUGCCCUUGAUGCCCUAAUUUCGUACCUCUUUGGGCCUUGAUGCGAGAGGCCGAGUAUGCGGGCCUGGACAAGGUUCCCUCCAAGCCGGGUACUUUUGGUCGGCUUACUCGACCGGCUAAAAGUACUCUAAGAUCGAGCCGAUACGUUUAGCCGCCGAGCUGACCAAACUGAUCCAGCUUGCUGGAUUAGGGCCUGUUAUUCGAUGGGCCUUGUGGAGGGAUCUAAUCCGUGGAGGGAUGUAAUCCGUCUCCUACAAUUACUUACAUAACAAUUCAUACGAAAAUUAUGCGUGUGUGGUCGGAUGGUAUAGUGGGUUUGAAAAGAUGUUAAAUGUUCGGGGUUUGAAACGUAGGCCACCAUACGAACAUGGUAUAUAGGUUAUUCUUUAUCAUUUAAAUAUUCAUAUAUUAGUUAGUUUUUUCUGUAUAAUUCUAGUUUUUUUUUUUGAAUAAAUUGUAUAAUUCUAGUUUACAUUGUAUCAUUUAGCUACUUAUAUAUUUUCUUACAAACUCUUACAAAUCAAUUUAAAUUAGGUUUAUUUCUAAAACCACAUUUGGCUCUCUCUUAUUAAACCAUACUUUUUAAUAUUUAUUAUCACUACAAGAAAUAUGUACAUUCUUAGCUCACGAAAAUGUUAUAAUAUGGUUUUUAUAGCAUUUUCUGUUAUGCUAUGUCAUCGGCAGCCAUCAUAGGUCUUUAUGAUAGCAUUUUUUAAACGCUACAAAAUAUAAAGAUACGAUAUCAAUACUUGAAUGUUGUUAUUAUAUUUACUAUAACACUAAUUUUUUUGUUAUAAAUUGAUUAUAUUUUGUGCUAUGAUAGAUUUUUUUUACAAUAAACCAAAAAUAAUUAUAAUUAAAAAUAAAAUAAUUAAAAAUUAAACCGGAAUUUUGUUUUAUAAUUAGAAAUAAAAUAAAUUUUAUUUAUGAAUUAAAUUUAGUUUACGAAUAAAUUCUGGUUUACAAAACUAAACCAUAAAUUAAAAACUAAAGUAAAACAACCACAAUUUUCCCAACUUGGUUUACACUAGACCAAACCUAAAAAAAAUCUAAACCUAAAAAAAAGACUCCAGCCGCCGUAGCUUCCCCUUCUUCUUCCACCAUCAAGGUCUUCAACCACUAUCCCGUCAAGGUCUUCUUUCACAACCGUAGUGGUGAUGACGAGCGCGUCGGUGGUGGUGGUGCUGCUGCUGGUGAAGAUGGGAACGAGCUAGAGACCGACCGUCGCGUCUUCUUCAUUCUCUGCAUCUCCGAGCUCUAUAUCUUCUCUCUGUUCCACCACUUCGCUUGGUCUCAGCCGCACCACCAUGGCCAGUGGCCACCACUUCGCUUGGUCUCCGUUGUGGUGGUGGUGUCGGACGGCGAUGGUGGUGAUGAGCGAUGGUUGUGGUGGUGACGAGUGACGGUAGUGAGAAGGAGAAGUUUAGUUUGAGAUCUAUGGAAUGAAAAGAUUGUAAAGACCUCGUGAGAAAGAGAAAAUAAAAAUUAAGUGAAUAAUAUCCAUUAGAUUGAAAUCUAUCAACGGUGGAGAUUAAUAUUUUAGUUAUCCUCACCACUAUGAAUUGGUUUUUUUUAUUGGUCAAGGCUUUUCCUUCUUUCUUUUUUUUUUAACACAAGUCAAGGCUUUUUCCUCUUUGUUUUUUUCUUUGUUAUACUCUAU